Molecule: long non-coding RNA, 60408 nt
Filed under: Coffea arabica (coffee)
Lineage: Eukaryota; Viridiplantae; Streptophyta; Magnoliopsida; Gentianales; Rubiaceae
Description: long non-coding RNA (CARA_LNC004052)
Source: RNAcentral
UUUUUUUUUUUUUUUUUUUUUUGUUGUCAUUCCUGCCUAAAGAUGUUAUCGUUCUUUACUAAAGAAUUGUCAAAGUAGGGUAAACCGUGGGUGUCCUUUUGUCAGCAUUUCUGGAUUAACAACAAUAUAGGUGAGCAUGGACGGAUACACCCACAGACGCAUUUGUAGAAACGUGUAUAUCCAAAUAUGGGAGUGCAGGAGAUCCAUCUAUAUGUUUCUUUUGUAACUUUGCUUUUAACUUUUGACUUGGCUACAAAAGUACAAAAUGGUAAAGCAUUAGGUACUUUUUUUUUUUUUUUUUUUAAUUUUGGAAACGUAGUCCUAAUGUUAUUAGUAUAAAAUAGUGGCAACUAGCGAGGUGUUUAUAGCUAGGAAAAAUUGAACUAAAAGAAAAAUGAACGACUUGGGGUGAAAACGAGUCUAUGAACAAAGAUGAGAAGAUCCAACUACCUAUAUUUCUUGUAGUUUUUUCUUUCAUGGCCAUAUUAUUUUAAGUUCCCUCGACUAUCUUAAAACGUAGCAAUUACAAAUUUUCAAAGCUAUUCAGAAACUUGUACUGAAUAGAAACUGUUCAUAAUUGUUCUUUGCUGCACCAACUUGCUCCAUCGAGCAAUUGAGUUUUAUUGGGGACUAGUAACAGUACAACAGUGUAAUGGUCAAUACCCAAAUGAAAGUAAAACAAUAAUACCAAAACUGAUCCACAUAGCUGAAAAGCUAGGCAUAGAUAAAGUUAGUGAAAAAACAUGGAGGCAAAAAACUUCCUUUAUACCUUUAAGAAUAGAAUUCUGCCAAUCGAUCCGACCUCAAGAUACAAGACAGACUUACCAGCAGCUAACAGAUAAUCCCUUGUGUAUAAAGCCAAAAUGAUUAUUGAUUUGUGGGUACUUAUCAGAUGGGGACUUCAAACGCGACAUCUGUUGAUUAUCUUUGAGGUGUAAAAAAAAAAAAUAAGAAUCCUCUUUUGUAAUUUUACUGUCCUAUCCCUUUCCUUUAAUCCAGAAUGAGGUAUGUCAUCUUGUUUACAAUCUUUAGUAGUUCUCCAAAAUAGCUGAUUUGUGGAAUCAAUCUCCAUUGUGUGUGUGUGCGUGUGUUUUUUUUUUUAAGUUAGAUAACAAAAAAUGAAAAAAAAAUUGGUUUAAAUAAGUAAAGUUGAAUUAAACAUUCAGCUUCAUAAAAAGUUAACUGCCAAUUUUCUCUCCUUAACUUUUUUACUCCUUUAUAUACAUGAAAAAUUGAUCAAUCUUCUACUAAUGUUUAUCCAGAGCCGGCCUGAACUAAAACUUUCCAUAUGCUUUCUGCAGACUGCCUUCUAAUUUUUUUUUUUUAAAAAAAAGACCCUCCUAACACGGUUAAUGGUUUCCCCCCACACCCCCCCCCUCCUCCUCGCUAGUUAUAUUAGAAGCAGGAUUUCCUUUUUCUAAAACUGCACAAGCUAAGUUUUGCUACUGUUCUAGAAGACUAGGAACUUAUGCGUGUGUCUUAUUCGUCCCAUCCGUUUGCUCUUUCUUGUUAAUUCUAGAAGACAUUGACGUGAAACAAAAGUAGCACUUAGUAUAGUAAGUAAUCACGCACUUCACUCUUAUAUUAGGUUUCACACUAUAAAUACAAACAUUGACAUUUAUUGACCCCCAAAUAAAUGCAAAUACAGUUAUUUACACAAACCCUUUUUUUUGCAUGCAUAUCCACCAACUUUUCCCCUAGAUUCUUUUCUGACAGGACAUACAAUAAAUAUAUCUAACUGAAACACAUUUUUUCUUUCUUUAUUAAAAUGUUCUUGAUAUCAUCUUGCUCUAGAAGCAUUUGAUCCAGCCAUUGUCCUGACCUCUUGUUCUUUCCCUUCUUUUCCCCCAGUUGACUAAUACGCGGCUUAAAUACCUACCCGUCGUCUAGACAUGCAUAUUUAUUAAAUCCUCCCCAACAAGAAAAUCAUCAUUUGCGUCCACCAAGCAUUUUAUCCUUCUCCUUUCUUAUUACACUACUCUCCAAUUCUCAACCAAAAUGGAUGAUGAUACCAAGAACAAAACUCCUCAUCUCCAAGAUGAUCACCAUCAGCUAGCUGCGGCAGAAACAGAAGAAGCAGAUGAAGCCCUUUCCCUUAGCGGGCUUAUCUUAAACUCGGAUGAAAUCGAGGUCCAAGAUCGAAGAAGAUCAUCCUUUUCUGAUCCAUCAGAGCUUUUCGAGUUCUUGAGCGACAAAAACUCCCAGAUGUCGCAUGCAGAAGAUAUCAUUUUCUGCGGUAAGCUUAUGCCAUACCAAGAAAACCCCUCUCGUCUGCCCAAUGCUCACAAUUUCCACAAGCAUCAUCAACUCACCAGACAUGAGAAACAACAAAGCUUCCAUCGUAGAAGAUCCGAGUCGUUAAGUGACCUAAAAACCAGCCUGUCCAACAGUGCUAGAAGAAACCAGCAUCAGUUCAUGAGGGCUAGCCGGUCUUUAGACUGCCGAAAGUUGUAUGGAAACAAGUACAACUCCCCCUCGGCAGCGGGCGGUUUCGCCAGGGCUGAAAAAGUAGAGAUUGAGCGGAGCUCGUCGACGAGAAGUUCGAACAAGGGUUUUAAUGCCACUGGGAUGAAAGAAAAGACUGCAAGACCAAGGUGGUACAUGAUGUUUGGGCCUGUGAGGUUUCCACCGGAGAUGGCUUAUCAAGAUAUAAAGAGCCGGCAAGUGCGGCAGAGUCCCGGAAGUUUGUUUACGUCAUUGGAGUCCCGCGAGAAGGCCAUUGUGAACCGGCCGCAAGAUCGGAGAUGGUCGGGCUCUUGGGAUUUGCUUAGGGUAUUAAGCUGCAAGGGCCAUGCAAGUGUAGCUGUAACGGCGUCGUUUGGCUGCCUGCAGGCGCAGCACAGUAUUUGAAUAGUUGACAUUGCCUCUGUCAUGUGCGUACCUCACGUGACUACUAAUACUUUGACAUAAUUGUCCAUGGGGGACGUGGAUGGAACUGGCUGAUUGGGCUGUGAAGAGGAAGGGCAAAAUGGGGUGUCUAGAAAGAGACAUCACGUAGAAGAGAAGAUAGUGUACUGUGAGACCACAUGGUUAAUGAUGAUCAUGACGCCUCAGAUGUAAUGAAGAAGGGUAGAAUAUUUUGUCCUCCAAUUUGUGUAGGGCCAUUUGAAAAAAUUAAUGGGGAUCACGGGGUCCCAAUGACGACAUGAAUUUGGUAUUUAUUUUGGGGAGUACAAUUUUUAAAUUUCUAACUUAUUAGGGGAAUUUUUCCAGCCUUGGCAGUUUGUUAUUUGGAAUGUUUGUGUGUUCUUGAAGUCGGCCAUUUUUUUUUUUAAAAAAAAAUCUAUUGUGUAUGGAUGUAAUUUGUCCUUCAAGUACAGUACUACAAAAAUUAUAGAGAUAAACGUUCUCAUCUCAAUUCCAACUUGAGAUAGGAAAACAAGUAGCAGCAGUAGAAUAUUUAAAUAACGAGGUUGCUGUAUAUUGCCAUGCGCUAUAUGGUGAUUGUUGAGCCUUUACGCAUUCUUGCGAUAAAAUUAUACCUCUGAUUUGAGCACUAAUGUUUCAGUGAGGUCCAGAAAGGCAAAGGUAAUAUUUGUCGAAAACCAUGAUUUAGAAAAGGAGCUUAUAGUACAUCAUAUAAACCGACAACUACAGAAAAAACUACAAAGAUGUCCCCGAAGACGGAUAUUCACAAGGACAUAAGUGAAAAUUUCUAGUGUUUGAAGGGGAUAAAAGGUACUUUCAAAAUCUUGGGACGCAGAAACUAAUUCCUACAAGAACAUAUGAAUAAUAUUUACAGUUAAUUUCUUAAGAAAUAUAGAACUGCUGCUGAUGAUGAUGCAAGUAAAAUAAAAAGAUAGUUGAAAAACGUGCUGAUGAUGCAAGUAAAUAAAACUCGGUAAAUAAUUCAUUAAUUGUUACUUUGACAGUGGCCUUCAUAUUAUUGUCUUCCUUGAUCAAGUAAUAUGUGAUCCUCGAUCGUUUAUCUCAUGCAAAAUGUCUAGGGCUGGUGGGGUGAGUGGUGAUGGGUAUACGGGUGAUGCCUGUGAACACUUUAACAGAAAAAUCUCUGUUCAGCACGAAAAUGAACCCAUUCAUUUCAUUGUCAAUGGAUCUGCAUUAGCAGCCUACCCCUUCAUAAUUCACCAUUGACGUCAGUGCUGUUAUCCUAUUAUCUUCGUCAUGAAGAUAGACAGAAUAAAGGUCGAAAUCCCUAAAAGUUAAUUAAAUAGCACUAGAUUUAACUUACAUAAUAAACUGUUGUUUUCAUUCUAAGUAUUUUUCACGUAAUUUUGAAAUGUCACAUGUUUCACCAUUUUCAGGAAUUAUGUAUAAGAAACGUAUGGUGAUCAUAUAGAUCGUAGGACCAAAUAUGAGUACUACAAACAACGUGCAAGGAACAUAUUUUAGACCCCCGUCCUACGUUAAUUGGCCAAGUUAAUUAGAUCCAUUUGAGUAACAAUACUCUCUGGCAAUAUUGUUAGACUUCAUAUUCUGAAGUUUUAUUCAUGAAAAUUUGGAUCGAAGUUUAUUUCCAAGAUAUUAUUUGCUUCCAUUUAGAAACAUGUUUUUCAAUCAAUCAAUUUAUUUUUUCAACUACUUUUUUAUCUUGUACACAUCACAUCAUAAAAAAUAUUACAGUAAUUAUUUUACAUAUAUAAUCUCAUAUCCAAACAAAUGUUGUCAUAGGGUUUUAAUAUCUCCAAUUUUAGUGACUUAACUUUUGUAUUUGGGUGAAAAGUCUGGAGUUGAGUAGCUGGGACAUGUGCAUAAUCGCGUGCACUAGAAGUUUUUGUACCACAUUAAACAGUUUGGAUGCCUUCUUCAGUUUGAAAUUCUACAGCAAACCAAUUUGAUAGUGAUUGGAUAGCCAAUCAACCAACGAGACUUCUUAUGAUGUAAUGUAUGCGAGAUAAAACGGUAGUUGAAAAAUAUAUUAAGUGAAUACGAGGUCUCCACAAUAUCCAGAAAAAGUUUUCCACAAAACUAACAAUCAAAACAAGCAAAGUGGGAAAAAACAAAAAAAUUUUGUUACUAAAAGUUUAUAAAAACCAAUUCAAGAGCAUUAUGUAGAAAGCUAACAGUAAGGUGCGUGGCGUACUUUUCUCUUGCGGUUGAAACAUCCAUGAUUUCCUUUUUGCUGGCUUAAUUUGCUUCAAUGAGUAACCGAGCAUUAUGUUUUGCUUCACAUUGAAGCUUGUUCUCCGUUGAUAUUUCUCUCUUCAUCUCUUUUAUUGCAUUACAGCUCAACUACCCUAGUAAUUAAAGUGUCGUGCAUCUUUAUAAUGACGGGACAAAGAAAAACAUCGGAAGUGAUAAACUAAAUAGUACGCUCUAUGUCAAUUGUCAUGAAAAAAAAAAAAAUCAAGACAUUCGUUACUACACUUCACUUAUCUGCAUUGUUUGGAUUGUAGUUUUCUAUCAAAAUUCUUUUUCAUAAAUAUAUUUUUCAAUCAUCUUUUUAUUCCACGCUCUAUGUAGUAUAUGUAUGUAUGCUUUUGACAAGAUUUAUAUAUUGGAACUUCAUUUAAAUAUGCACAAGAUUUUAACACUCUCUUAAUUUUUGUUUGAAAACUAAAAUUUUUUUAAUAAACAUGUUUACUUUUUUAUUAUACAAUCAAUCUUUUUAGCUUUCAAACUGACAAUAUUUGAAUAGUUAGAAAACUAUUUUGUUCUAAAACAUAAAUAAAAUAGUGAUAAAUAAUGCUAUAUUUUUAAAACCAGUGACAUAUUUUUGUUUUAUAUUUGACUAUAUUAUUUAUUUAUGUAAAAGUAAGAUAAAAUUAAAUUAAAUCUUCGAUUAAUACCUAUAUAAUCAUUAUAUAUCUUUCUAAGUGCAAUAAUUACAGUCUAAAAGCAUUUUAUUAGAUAUUUUAUGUAUAUUAAAAUUACUAUCUUAUAUUUAUAAAUAUUAAAUUAAUACUUACCGAUUCAUUCACUAAUUGAACCAGUGACCAAUUGACUCAAUUCCUUCGUGGGAGCCCUUGUCCCACCAAAUUUAAUAACUAUGGUUUUAGCAACCCUAGCCAGCCCACAUUCCUUUUUUUUUUUCGGGCUAGACUAAUUCCACUCCGGCCUGGAAAAGGAGGUCCCACUCCACUCCAAGCACAGUAACAAGGGGGCUCGAAUCUUGAUUGUCCAGAUAAAUCUAUCAUAUUCUAAAGAGAGAAAGCUGACCGCUCGAGCUGAUCCUCGUGUACGUUAAUUUUGUAGUAUGACAUAUGGAAUGCGCAGAAGACUCAGAACGGAUAGGAUGUCACGCGAUUUGCAUGAAAUGAGGGUCUGCUAACGUUAAAUGUGAACAGAUAGCGUCCAUUUGACGGACUUGUCAGCUGGGGACAAGUCAAGGAGGUCAGCUUAAUUUGGCACCGGUACUUUUGGUUUAAUUCUAGUGUGGACAGAUGCAAUACUACAAAAAAUGAGGUCAUUUUUUCAUUUUGACCUAGCUCCAAUCCAUCAGUCUUAAGAGCAACAAUGGCGUAUGUUAAAAGAGAAUUUAAGAAUUCACCUAGUACUUAAAUGGAAAAAUUCAUAUCAUUAGAUUUCAAAGUGAAUAAAUUUACUCAUUAAGCUGUUAUAACAUAAUUUUUGUGUUUUUUUUUUCUAACAACUGAAUGAGGUUCAACUCUGAUCUGUGCAUCUAAGAAAACUCUAAGAAUUAACUCAUAAGGAUACUUGCCAGUGUUGGGUGCGUUGGGUUAAUUUCAUUUUGUACCCUUGAACAAUAUCCGAAUUUUCACUUUGAUUUCUAAAUUUCAAAAUGGGACGCAUUAGUUUAAUCCCUAUAUUAUAAAAUUUGUCAUAUUUAAUCCGUAAAGUAUAGUACUUUUGCCCAAUUUAGUCCCCAAAGUAUACCCGCUAAGGUAUAAAAUCUGUCCCACUUCCUUGAGUAAGACAAAUUUUAUAGUGUAAGAACUAAAGUGUCUUAUUUUAAAGUUUAGGAAUUAAAAUGAAAAUUUGGAAACAGUUGAAGGGGUGCAAAAUGGAAUUAACCCGGGUACGCUUGAUUGAUUAGUUAUCCAUCCUUAAGAAUGGAGGGGCUUUCAUGCCUGCAUCAUUCACGUCAAACUUCAUGAGAGCCGGACUGGGUUUGUAUUAUUUGGGGCUUCCAAUAGUUAUGACCAAUAACAAAAUUACCCAAUUAGAGACUCCAUCUUCUUCCUAUAUUGCCUAAAAAAUGAAAGGAAACAAGAGUACAGUGGUAAAAGAGCAUGAAACUCAACAACUAGAAGCACAAGAUAACCAUCUAGAAUGCCAGGCAUCCAAUUUAGAAAGGGAGCAUGCAGCAAGUUAAAGGUAAAACAAGUAAAAGCAUGUGGUAUUUCAAAAUAAUGCAGCAUAUACCAUCCACAGAAUUUGUUUACUAGAGAUGAGCUAAAAUAUCUACCAUGAAAAUACACCAAGAUUAAGGAGCUAAUUCAAUACAAUGCAAGAAAAGUAGCAAUGUGUCCAUAUAAAACACUAAUGGAGACAAUAACACCUCUUUUACAGGCAAAAAGUGGCCAAGAGUCCAAGAUUCGACAUAAACUUUAACAGGUUCCUUUACUCAAAGUCUCCUACACAGAAACUGUGUUCUCAUGUUGACCAGUUAUAUCAUACAGUGCUAAAUAUAAAUCAUUGGUGCAGAAAAGUCGGUUUUUGGGCUCAUACUCCCAUUGAGAGCCAUCACGGGACAUGACUCCUAUACCAGUAUGUGAUAUACAUAAAUGUAAGUACCAUUCAAUGCUGAGACAACUAAUACAAAAUUUAGACUAACUUGGAUGCACCACUUGACCAGUAUAUAUCUCCACAAACAAUAAAAGAAUUUAAGUAGCUGCAGAUAUCCUAAGAAAAACCCAGAAACUUGGAUUGCCAUUGGAAAAAAAGAAGUCAACAACUUCAAGAUAAAUGGCAUAUCUCUGAUUACAUAAAGAAGCAAGAAUCAGGGAAAAUCAAGUCAAAGGGUGGUUCCUUGGUUUCUCAUCAUCAUCUUCUUCUUCCUCCUUUUUUCACUUCUCAGAAGAAAAUUUUGGACACUCAAAUGACAGUAGAAACUACUACGGGAAGCAUACACAUCUUAUCAAAUGGACCGAGCUAUGGCUCUAACAUUUCAAACAUUAAAGAUGAAAAAUUGAAAUCCUGAAAAAUUAGAUCAGCAGCAAAAUAAAUCUUUCUUUAGGGUGAUUAAAAUUAAAAUCUUUCCUAAGAUGAGGGAGUACAAAGUAAUCAACUGUUUAAGAAUAAGUAGCAAAUAGAUCUCUAGAUUUUCUCCCUACUUUGAGAAGAGUUUAAUUAGCACAUUCAUUUGUAAGCUUGAAACCAUCUUAAGAGUUAUUCUAUUGGCAUUAUGUCACCUCAUAAUCUUCAAGUAUUCAUUUCAUUGACUCACAUGGAGCAUGUACAACAUAAAAGCAACUGCCGCAUAUUUUCCAAAAAUGCAUCGGAUAUAAAAGCAUAGCAGCAAUGCAAGAACAAACAUGUGAUGGCUAAUCGAGGUCCAAUUCAACAAGAAACUUAUAUUGAUAGCGAUUUUCUAUCUACGUUCAGUAAUUUAAUUUUUCCGUCAUGUUCCUUGUACAUAUUUACUAUUUGCAGGUGUUAAGAUCCAGAUAGCAUGUAUUUUAAUUGGAAAAGCACGUGAAACAGUAUGUAUACGCUCAAUUACACAAAGCAAGUGCCUUAACAAUGUUUGAACAGAAUAUUUCCUGUCAGAAUGGUGAAUCAAGGUUACAGGCAACUGAUCAGGAAAUGCUAUAGGGUAAAACAUCAUAAACUACAUAUCUCAGCAAACAUACAGGAAUGUAAAAGAAUUAAUUUUCUGCCGACCAGAAAAAUAAAAACCUGAAAAAGAAAAACAACCAGUUUCAUGCUUAAUUGCACAUGUAAACCCCACUUGCAAACCUGUCAUCCACCUCAUAAAAAUCUGUCUUACCCUCAGAAGCAGGACGCAGAGAAAUUCCAGACAAAGAUUUACUUCCUUGUCCUGAAAAUUUAACAUGGCAAACCACUUCAAAAUCUAUAUCAUCAUCUUCAUCACCAAUAUCCACAGGCAUCCUCACUCUUAAUCUACCAGGAUUGCCCUUAAGGGGAAUCUCAGGAACAUGCCAUUUGAUUUCCUUCUCAGACCUAUUCAAGACUGCUUUUGGUGAAACCUUCAACAGUGUUGGGUCUACAGGCAGUUUCAGGACAAAUGUCACAUCGUUCAGCGGUGCUGGUAAAUCUGGAUUUGACACAUAUUGUAUCAUUACAGAAAGUAAAGUCCCACUGAGACGUUUGACAAGUCUAACCCUCAAAGGCAAUGGAGUCAAACGUGGUAACAAACUAUACUUGACAAUUGGAAUAGGUUCUCCUGAUGGAGCAGUCCUAACAUGGAACAAACCAUUUCCAAGGCUACUUACACGUGAGCUUUGCAGUACAAACCUCUUAACACUGCCUGUAUUCUCAACUUUAAAUGAAAACUCAGUCUCUCUAUCAUCAGAAGGCUUUGGAGGUAAUGUCCUCAAGUAAACAACACCCGUCAAUCCAACUCUAGCAAGCAAUGAUUCCCUGAACUCUGCACUAAUCUCUUCUGCAAUGUACAUUUCCGGACCCUUCAUUUCAGUUUUCUUUACCAACACAUCCUCGAGAUUCUUACCAGCACCGUCAGCAGCAGCUGCAGCAGUCUUGACUGGCGGAUCACUAGUUUCUAACAAUUCAAGCCCACCAAGCCCCUCAUGUUUCUUGACCUUCUUUGACUCCACAUAAUCAGAAGCAUCCAAUCCCCCACCCCAAGCAUCACUAAACCCUUCGAAGUCUUCGCGUAACGUUGACCCGUCAUUGCUAAACUCAAUUCCGCCAUAGUUCCCUUCAAAGCCUUCAACACCUAUAUGCGUGGACUCAGUAGCCGCAGCAGGUGGCAGUGUAGUAACCUCAAGCCCCGCCAAUGCCUUAGUCAAAUCUGAACUCUGAUCCUUGUCCUUCUUAAACCCUUCCACAAGAGACGCAGGCUGGUUAAUCUUCUCACUGGCUGCAAAAGGAUCCUUCUCUUCCUCCUCCUCCUCUACCUCACCUUCUUCCUUCUCAUCACCCUGACCACCACUGAACGCCAUCGUGGCAGCCACUUCAUCCCCAGCCUCCAAAGUCUCCUGAGGCAAUUCAAACACAGCCUUGGAGAAUGCUUCCAAGCCACCCUCAUGUUCCACAGAAUGCACCUCUAAAUUAACCCAACUAUCCGCCCCACGGAUUUUAUUCUCCGUAUUGAUAGCAGAAUGCACCAUUUUAGCAAUGCUAUCACCGUGCAUGGUGGCAAGCAUUGCCGCAAGCCUAAUGCUACUCACACCCCUCAAAACUAUAUCCAAAGCCAUAUAAAUUUCAGCAUAUUUCUUACUUAACUUCUCAGGGGUAACAUCUACACCCCGGCAAGCCGUGACAACAACACUAACAGCCUGAUUAACAAUACUAAUGCAUUCAAAAACAUUAUUAUUGGUCUCAUCAGCAGUAGUAAUUCCCAAAACAUAAAUUGAAUUAACUAAACGGUAAACGACCCGAUACCGGCUUUCGACGCCCACAAUCACUUGACCGCUCGAGGCGGCAAGUGGGUCGUCACCGAGGGAUGAAGGGUCGGCGGAGGAGUUGUCAGAAUUGGAGGCGACGGCAGCGGAUUGUUGUUUAGAGGAAAAUGCUAAGCGGGUUUUGCGGAAUGCUGAAAGGGCCAUCAGGGCCCGAGAUGGGGGAAACCAUUCACGGGUUUGGAGCAAAACGUCGGGCCCAUUUGUGGGUUGAAGGGAUAGUGCUAAACAGGACAUCGGGGUUUAAUCUGGAUUGGAUCAGAUCUUACGAGGUUUUUCCUUUGUAUAAUUCUUUUUGAGUUUGGAAAUGAAAUCAAAGGUAAUGGGGAUUGAAUACUUACUUGAAUGAGAAUUUGAGCUGGGUAUCGAUGAUUUUGGAGCUUCCUGUGAUGAUUGUUUGUUUAUUACAGAGAUCGGAGCUCUGGUGCGUAUGAGAGAGAGAGAGAGAGAGAGGUGAAAGAGGAAAGGCAGAAGGAAUGGACCCGGGUAGACGAACCUCAAAGAAGGUUUGGGCUGGGCUGAAAGUUGGAUCUUUGGGUGGGUUGGGGUAAAUUUAGGUUAUACAAUCAUUGGCUGAUUUUCUCCCCUUUUUUUUUUUGUGAUAUAAUUGAAUCAAUUCUUUUCACCUUAUUAUUCAAUCCAACCCUUCUUCUUAUUUAAUCCAACCCUUCUUCGAUUUUCUUCCUUUUAUAAUGUCGUUUUUCUUUAAAAGUUGAUAAUUUGGUUAAUUUAUUUUACUCGUCUUCCUUUUGUUCAAAUGAACCGCAAAGAGACUUUUUUUUGGUUGAAAAAAAAAAGAAAUUACAAGAACGUGUUUUUUGGUACAAAAAGUAUUGGUUGAAAAAAUUUUGAACGAUUUUGGCUCUAGUCAUAAGUAGAUUCUAGUUAGUGACCAUUGAAGUGUGCUUAAUCUACUCUCUCUUUCUUUUUUUACUCGUCUCGGGCAUGCGAGUUUUUGUGAAAAAAUAGUCCGAUCUUACCAACUAUAAAGCAUGUUAAAGGUACAAAAUGUCUCUAUGCACUUUGAAUUCAGUCCUUUUUGUGCAUUUUCAAUUAUGGAACUUAGAUCAUGGGUUUGGGCCAAGUUAGUGAAACCUUGAACUACUUUGCCUUAAUUGGCCUUCAGGGUCAGUGGAUCUAUUUCCGGCGCAACAGUACAUUUGAAAGAGACUGGUGUACUCUCUGUACAAAUAAUUGUACAUCUCAAGAAACUUUUCCCGAGCUGGAAAGCCAGUACUAAAUGAUUUACGAACCCUUUGGCGCCUUGCCUAUUCAAAAUUCCAAAUGCGGUACCACCAAUGAACCCAGCAGCCCUCCUGCAACACCCUCUUCCCACCCGCACCACGAAAUGCACCACCGGUUGCCCAAUCCUCGACAGCUUCUUACACGGCGGCAUCCCUUGCAACUCAAUUACAGAGAUAGUCGCCGAGAGCGGCUGCGGCAAAACCCAAAUCUCCCUCCAACUCCUCCUCUCUGCUCAACUUCCGACCUCCCUCGGUGGUCUCUCCGCCUCCUCGCUUUACCUCCACUCCGAGUUCCCCUUUCCCUUCCGCCGCCUCCACCAGCUUGCCCUCUCAAACCCCACUCUCCAAAAUCCGUUAGACAAUAUACUAAUCCAUCCUUUACAUUCUGCGGACCACCUGCUCGACUUAUUGUCCCGCCUGGAUCCCCUCCUUGUACACCCACCACCGCAGACCCGUCUCCCUAUUAAACUCAUUGUUAUUGAUUCCAUUGCUGCUUUGUUUCGUUCUGAAUUUGAUAAUAACCCGAGUGAUUUGAAGAGGAGGUCGGGUUUAUUCUUUAAGAUUUCGAGCAAGCUCAAGGCACAGGCAAUGCGGUUUGGACUGGCUGCGGUGGUUACUAAUCAGGUUACGGAUAGUGUCGAUUCUUCGGAUGGAUUGAGGAUUGGGAACUCUUGGUUUCUUUAUUCUUCUGGGAGGAGGGUCUGUGCUGCACUUGGGUUAUCUUGGGCUAAUUGUGUGAAUACAAGGCUCUUCUUAUCGCGAGAUGAGGAAAAUGUUAAAGACGAUGAUGGUGACAUUGUCAAUACAAGAACGAGGACAAGGAGAUUCAUCAGCGUUGUAUUUGCGCCGCAUUUGCCUCAUUCAUCAUGUGAGUUUUUUAUUGCAAAAGAAGGGGUUUUGGGGUUUGAUAGUUGCAAUGACUUCCAUUUAGAAAAUAGAGAGCUCUAAUGAUGCAAAAGGUGAUGAUAAAAGAGGCAAAUCUGGGUUUUCUUCCCUUGUCUUUUUUACUUUAAUUUUUCUCUGUUUUGUAAUUAAUGCGAUCGGGCUGAAGAAAAAUGUAAGAGAAGUUUUGCAAUAGACUGGGGAAAAUUUCCCACUGUUGUGGGUUUUGUACAGCAUGUAAAAUUUCAUUUAAUUUGUGAGACAUCAUUCCUCUUUGCUCGAGGUAUUCUCUGAAUCUGUGAAUUUCUGUAAUGCAUUGACAAAUAACAUGGAAUUUUUUUUUUAAGACCCCGAAAAUGGUAGUUUUCCUAACGAUAAUCAAUAAAUAUUCACAGAGAACACUGAAGUGAGAGGCACUUGAUUACAUUCAAUUUACCAACUGAAGAACUGCAUUCGAUCUGCUGAACCAGUAUGUUGCAUACAAUGUGAAAACCUCUAUUAUAAGGACUAAAACAACCACAUGACUUAAAUUCUAUCGAUAUUACGCCUCAUAUUUGAAGCUCAGACUGAAUGGCUGUACUUUGUCCAUGCCCCAUACUCGUUCAACAUUUUGGAACUUGUGUUGAAGUCCCCAGGAUCUCUGCUAGUUCAUUUCUCCCUGACAAAUAACUGUGAAUGCAGCAACUGAUGUUCAGCAUGCUUCAUGGUAGGUGGCCCUCUUUAAACUGGAAAACUCUUGGUAACUAAAUGGAACGUCUUUUGAGUAAUAUAUGAUGAAUACUUGCAAUACUCGUAUCAAGGUCGCCCUGUUUAAGUUUCUCAUCGGAUUAAUGAAAUAAAAGGUAAAUUGUAAAAUCAGGGAUCAAACUGAAAGUAUAACACGGCAGGAAAGAAUUUUUAAGAAGUCUUUCUUUGCUUGCAAGUUGCAAUCGUUAAUUUAUUGAACUUCGUUUCCGGCCAAAUUCUAUUUUCCUUUUUAGUACAUGGCCGAGUUACUCAAACCUGUCACCAAUGCAGGCAAUCAGUAGAUUUUUUGUGCUUGGGUUCUUUGGAGACUGGCUAAUUUCAAAAAAUGUCCCAUCAAAGUUUGAUGCAUAACAGCAAGCUUGAUUAUUAACUUCAGCCAGUUAACACGAGAUCCUAAAGAAUUUGAAAAGAGUGAAGACAAGUGCCAGAGUUGCCCGUGGUCACAUCUCCAAUUAUCUAAGAGAUGCAAACCCCACCCCCACCCCUCACCUAAAAGGAAUAUAUAAUUAUGUUUUUCUGUGUAAUGACGCGCAAAGACAAGAUACUGAAACAAUUAGAACAAGGGAGAACAGGCAGGAAGAGAAGCUAUGGUCAUAAAACAUUUCUGUGAGUAGGGAAAGAUUAGGUAAACCCCCACUAUUUUUUAUUUCCAAACAACAAAUUUCAUUACUGAACAGCAAAAUACAUCCUACACCAAGAAGGAAAAUAUUCUCCAAGAGGGAAUCUUUUUAGCAGGUGCCUGAUUUGUACUUCUAAAAAUAGCAGUGUGUGAAAUGAUCACAUGCUAGUAGCCCAAUAACGGAGAAACACAGACUACUGUCGAUAAAGUCACAAGCUUACCUGUUUUCAUGCUCAUUAUCAAUAAGCUACAACUUGGUCUCAGUUUGAGUAGAACAGGAAAGGAACUGCAAAAAUAUAAAGACAAUUAGCCAAAUAAAAAUAAAGCAACAACAACAACAACAUUCAAAAUGAUCCAAAGCUGAAAUUUUUACUCUUUCCUUUCUCCACCUAACAGUAUGCAGCCUCCUCAAUCAGCAAGCAGAACAACAAGGCUAUAACAUCAAGUUACCAUUUACCAAAAUUCAUUUCCAAUAAAGAAGUUAUCAUCUUCCUAACUUUAUAAUUAUCUUGACCUAAAAGUGGUGAACCUAUUCCCAAACCCCAAAACAGGUAGCAAAACCAGCAAAUAAGCAAUGCACAGAGCCUCAACAAACUAAUAUAGUCAAAUUCUGCAAACCCACAAAUAAGCGAUGAACAAAGAGGUUCUAUAAACAACUACAGUCGAAUUCUGUACAUCUACCUGCCAAAAGCUUAACAGGUAAACAGUAUUGCAUAUCACUAUGUUUACAGCAAUUCAAGGUACGGAUUGCCUAGACUUCCUAUGCUUUGGAGGAAAAUUGUUAUGUACCUAGUUUGUAGAAUGUUUGAUAUACUUGGUAAGUACUCAAGAGAGUACAAAAAGAAGUAACUAAUGCCAACACCACUUCACAAUGAUAAUGAUGCAAAUUCAACAUUUUGGCCUUCCUAUAGGUAAAGCAGGUCUUGGAGAAGGAUGCCAAUCAUGUCCACGAUGUUUUAGAUUGUUACGAUAAUAGAAGAUAUCCUUUAAGCAACACAAAACUUGAAAGUUAACCAGACCAGUUUGUAAAGAAGUUUGAGAGGUAACUACAAUAAAACAUGGGAUAAUUUCAGAAACCUCCCCUGAGGUUUCUGACAGUCUCACUCACCUCCCCUGAACUUUGCAAAAUAUCAGAUACCUCCCCUGUCAGGUUAUUGGGCCCUAUUUGUGAUAUCAUUGAUGAUGAAUUGACAGAUAUACCCUUAUAACUUAUGAUAUAUUUCGAAACUAUGUUGACAGAAUUAGUUAAAUGAGUAAUACGAAUGAUUAACCAACUUAACUACAAUUUAGAUGCAAAACUAAUAGCGAAUGAUUAACCAACUUAACUAUUAUUUGCUCUUUAUCGUUGGUUUAGCUGUGCACAAAGAGCUAUUGGCUUCUACCUUCCAAAAUGCAAUAGGCACCUUGCCUUUUCCAUCAAUUUCAGAUUUCAUUGUUGUUAGAUGGUUUGUACUGUUCAACAAAAAUUAAAAGUCACUAAUGAUAAUCUUGAGGGCAGAUGUGGGAUGAAGUGUUUUUCUCUCUCCUGAUAUAUAUUUAAAAUUGUUUGUGCAUUUGAAUUGGGUGAGAUUUGAUACACUCUACUUAGUUUUAGGGGAGGUGAGUGAAACUGUCAGAAGCCUCAGGGGAGGUUUCUGAAAUUAUCCCAUAAAACAUUUAGAAAACAUGUAGCAGCCAGAGAAUGGUAUAAUGUUAUAUUAGCAUUUGUGCAGAUUUUAAGGUAAUUACAAACUAGAUGGGGUUAAAAAAGAGUAUCCACAAGUUAAGCAAUUCUCUUCUUAUAUGCUAAUCCUAACCAGCAUCUGUGGCUGAUAGUAGAAAUCAUAAUUGUCCGUAAAGCAGUGUGGUUGAAUAACAUGCCAAUAUCCUUAGCAGAUAUACAGUUGAAAUCCAAGACAACAAAGUCAACUUCCUGACUUAAGAACAAAAAUCAAUUAGCAGAGAAUCCUGUCACCAUAAAUAUUCGCCCCUCCUCACAUUCAUUUAGUCAGUUUACAAGAGUCCAGGGCAGGAGUAAUAUUAAUUUGAUUUACAGUGACAUUUUACAAUCUCAUUAAGAACUACUCAAUUGAAAUGUCUUCUAUCACCUUGCAAGGUUCUUGGUUUUAAUCAGAAUCCCUGAGUUCUAUGGGGUUUUUUAGCUACUUAUGGUCACCCUAUCUGGUUUUUUAAUGUUUCCCACCACUUAAUAAGAGAGAUAACUGCACAAAAUCUUACUAUUUUACUGAAUGAUGGAAAAUUAUACUGAAUCAGUUGCAAUGGACCUGGAAACGGGUUCAUUGAUGAUACUUGAAUGUGGAGCAGAAUGAGAACUCACCAAUUAGAAAAACAGCCAACAUGAAAACAAGUGUGAAUCGGAUAGAACAAUUGAAUGGCACCAUUUGAUGGGUUUGUGAUUGUCUCUGAAUUCUAGGCAAUCGUCCAAAGAGCUACAAAACAAUGAACUCUUAUCAGAUUUUUCAACACAAAACAAACCUAGUGAACCCAUUAAAAACUCUUCCUGACUCUAACAGUAUUAAUACUUUAAAAGACAAACAACAAUUGCAAAUUGAUGGUAGUGCAUUUGUGUGGAUGCAUCUCAAAACAUAUAAACAGCAAUAGACAGGUAAAUUGUUUCCACAAUAGUUAUUAACUGAUUAUAACAAUCCAUCUGUGAAGACAUAAAUUAACCUGAUUCAUCCAUUGGAUCCUCCUCCACAUACUGUUGCUUAACACUCCUCCCUUUGCUUGAGGAUGAUCUUCACCCUUUGGCCUCCAAAAAGCUGGUUUGAACCCUUUCUCUUUUGGUGUCGCCUCAAUGUUCAGUGCUUUUGUUUCCAUUUGCCCAUCCCUGUGGUCAAUCACAAUCUCCAGUUUGCUCGAAUCCGGUGAACUCCUUAUUCUCUCAGCAUUAAGCAUCAUAUCUUGCUGAUGACUCAUACUAUCUCCAGUUCCAGGGCUUCCUUUCAUAUCUAGUUCAACAACACUGCCCAAAUCAACAAUACACCGAGAACUUGCCGUAUUUGGUUUUUCUCCUUCCACGCCAAUAUCAGCAUUAGUAUUAAAGUUCUUUCUAGUCCUCUUCUGGGGAGAUCCAGUCUUGUUUGUUCCAAGCUUGUCGGCCCCAUCACUCAUGCUUUGAGAGUUCCAAAGGGGCCCCGAAAGAAACAAUGCUAAGUCAUCACGUUCUUUUUCAUCUAAGUUUACCCAUCGAAGGGACUGCUUACCAUCCACAUCAAAUGAUUCACUUAAUGCUGCUUCAACACGGGAAAUUUGGUUUUCUAUAGCAGAAACAAAUUGCCUAUGCCUAGUCAUUGUUACUUCAUCAGAACUUCUUCUGUAGCUCAAAGUAACAGCCUUUUCAAACUCUUCCAACUAAUCAGGGAACCACAGUACAAUAAAACAAAAGGUUACUGAAUGACCAUUAAAGCCACUAGAAACUUUAACAGGAUGCACAAUCUAUGAAACUAGAAAAAGUAGCAGAGAAAGCAUAAAUCCACGUAAACUAACAAAGCUAUAAGCAACCAAAUAUUGCUACAGUAAUGUCUUUAUAGCUAACUUUACAGCAUUAGAUAAUAGUCACUUGAGUGGAAAAGAUCAUUUUUUUUCUUAUUUUCUUUGUUUCAAGCAUCAACUAACCUGCCAUUUUGCAGUGCCCAAAGCCAUCUGAAGUUCCCUGGAAAGAUCAUCCCAAAUUUGAGGUCUCAUUCCUUCUUUCCUCUCUCUCAGCCAUGUCCUGUAAGCCGAUUCCAUUCUGGCAACCAAAAAAUAAAUCAUAUAUACUUGAACACAAACUGAAGAGGAUGCAAUCUUCGGACAUUGUUUUAAUAACAGAACAACUAUACAGUGUCAACAAAUUGUCCAAAAUAUGGCCUUCCACAACAAAAUACUGAAAUAAUAAUAAUAAUAAAGAAACUUAAGAAAUUUCUUAUGAGCAUUUCCCGGAAUUCUAAAAAGCACCAAGUAAAACUCCCGUACUUUAUGCAAUCAAAACCAGCUUCUUAACACCCUUCGUCAUAUUAAGAAUAUUAAGACAAACAUUUGAAUCAUCCGCAUCAAAAACGACAGAGAAAAGGACAAGUAUGACUGAAGCAAAAGGUGAAUUUUCUACCAAAUGGACAAAAAGGGAGGAAAAAAAAAGCAAAUCAAACCCCAGAAAAUUAAGUACAAGAAAAAUAGAGUAACCAACAGAAAAAAGAAAGGAUAAUUAAGUUGAUGAACAUACAUAUCGGCUGAAUGUUGAACUUCUUCAGCUGCAGAGAAAAAGGUGUCCCUUUGCCACAGAUCAAAACUGUUGGCAACCAACAUCUUUUCUUCAAAUUCUUUCCUUUCUCAGCAAACAAAAUACAAUCAAUAACUUCAAAUAUAAAUGGGCUUUUCUCUAAUUUGUAUAAAUAUUGAUAAACUAAAAAAAAUGAUGAAUUGAUGGAAAAGAAAAUGGCAUGAAAAAAAAAGUUUUCUGCCUUCACUUCUUUGCAGAAGGGGUGAAGCAAAGAAGGAAGAGAGAAAAAGAAAGUUAGGCAAUAGAAAGAGAGAGGGAGAAGAGAGAGACGUAGGAGCGAAUCCCUUCUUCCUCACUCCCUCUUUCUUUUGUUUUCUGAAAAUUCGUGUCCGCUUCAAAGAAAGGUUUCUAUGCUUGGUUUCCCAAUUUUUAGCUCUUCUUCGGUUUUCUGUUGGCCGCAAAUGUGAGUUUCUAUCUGGUGUUAUGGGUGUAUUACGUCAAGUAGUGAGUCAACCACUUAAAUAGGCGGCAGUACAAUGGCCUCAUGAAGACAUAUACAAUAAAAUUCCUAAUAAUAAGCAAAGGAAUAUUAGUACUGCUCCAGCUUAAGUAUUAAACUGGUACAGGACUUGAAUGAAUGCUUAAUUGAGAUAAUGAGUAAAUUAAUCAAGGUUGGAUUAGUUUUUUUUUCAUUCAACUAGAAGGUAUGGAGACGGCCUUUUUGCUUUUAUAUCUAUUUGUUUCGAUUAGUGAGAUUUGUGUACUCAAAAACAUGUUCGUUUUAAACAUAUGAAUUUAAACUACUUAAAUUAAUCUUUUGCUACAUAUUUUGGCACUUAUCCAACCUUACCGGUGCAUGCAUUAUUUGUGUAGGUAGGAGUAGGUUAUUUUUAAUUUGAAGAUUUGUUGGACCAAUUUCAUAUUGUUAUUCUUUUUUAAGGUCAAAUGCCUCUCUAUAUACUCUAACAUGUUCCCCCCCCCCCCCCCAAUUUUUUUUAAAUAAUUGGCAGCUUUUAUGGUAUCUUACAUUUAUGAGGAGGAACCAAACCAACUUGUAUAAGAAAUCGGAGAAUAUUUCCAUUUAGAUCAAGGAGCACACUGGUAUAUUUUCUGUACAUUUUUAUUUUAUUUUAUUUUAAGUGCAGAGAUUUGAACUAUCGACUUACAUCUCAAUAUGAGUGGUUUUAAAUUUUUUUUUUUUUUGGUGAUCAAUGGAUUUUUUAAUCACGUUUUUCUGCUCUUGAACUUGAUUACACAUUAAAAUUUUCUUUCUAAGGGUAAAAAUUAGCCUUAUAUCUUUUCUUUUUCUUUGUUGCAGUUUAGUUGUUAUUGAGUAUUAAAUUCAUAAAAGGAAACCAUAAGUAGAUUCCAAGGUAGACGAAAUUAGAAUAGACUUUUGAGCUCUCACUGAAGAAUAUCAUCAUUGAAGAAUUGAACCAUAAGUAGGAGGUUAGGCACCGAGUUUUGAUCAUGACAGGUUCACAAGUUUGGACUUUGGGUUGGACGUGUUGCAUUGCCACUGGCACAGCUGAGGUCGGUCGUGAGCUGCGUUGGACUCGAUCACAACCCUGAUUAAUAUUACUACUAAGUAGGGAGACCGUUUAUUUGAUACUAGUAUAUAGUAAAUAAUACCGAGGUCCUAAAAAGGCGUCGUCGGUUAAUGAGGACAAAAGAUGGUGAGUUGGGAAUUGUUUUUUGUGGGAAAUGAGGAGUCGGAGGUUGCCCAUUACCAAAAAGCAUAGCACUUGCUCUUGAUCCUCAUCAUUAUUAACCAUACACUACUUUGGAAGAAAGAAAAAAAAAUUUUAAAAAAAAGAAGGGCAUAUAGUAGAAGAAAGCUGAGUGGGUUUGAUGGUGUUGGCCACAGGGCCACAGGCAGGCCAGCCAACCACUCUCCGUGCGUGGGAGGGUCCAUUCAGCCACCGUAAGCCGGAAAGCCAACCGGGAACACAUGGACCUCAAAUUCCCCAAAAUGUUGGCUGUGAGCCAUCAUUGCUGCUAUUCAGCUUGUGAGGUUUUUGAUUCCCAAUUUAGGUCACAUUUGGAGUUGCGGUGCAUUUAUAGAAAAAAAAAUUAUUUUUAAGCACUAACUAAAAUUAUUUUUAGGAUAUUUAGCAAUUAAUUUUUCGUAACUUAAAUAUUCCAAUUUUUGGUAACCUGAAAGUAAGGGUGUAUUUUGAUUGAAAUGUUUUGGAAUAAAAUAAUUUGUUUCAUAAAUUUCAAUCACCUUGUUACCUUUCCAAUCACAUUUUUAUCUCAUAUACAUCAUCAUAUCAUAAAAAGUGCUACAGUAAUUAUUUCAAAUAAAUCAUCCAGAUAAGCAAGAUUUUGCAGAGCAUUUCGCUAUAUUUUUCUUGGUAUAACUCACUAAUUAAACAUUUAUCAGUUGAUUAUCUACAUUCAUCUCGUGUUCCGAACCAUAAUCUUAUUAAUUAAACAAGGUUGGUGCAAUGGUGUAUAUCCAUAUAAAAUUUCAUUUAGUCUUUCCUGCGAAAGGAAGAAUGUAAACGCAUGCUUGAUCCAUGAUUUGUUUUUGAUAAAUAAUUUCUUAUUAUUACAAUGAUGCAAACAACAAAAAAAAAAAAACUAUUGUUUGUAGAUUAUAGAUGUCAAUUAAGCAUAAUUGCGAAUGUGGAUGGUAGAGUAUGGGACGACAAAAGUUUAAAUGGUAGUACUAAUUAUUGAGCCCUUAUAAUUCCGUGAUAAGUGACAGUAUUUUAAUUUUAAUUAAGGCGUGGUUGAUUGCCUUGACGCUUUGACGGGUAUUUUAUGUUGUCGGAUUGCAAGUGGAUGAUGAUGAGAAAGAAUUUUGCUCUGUCACGCGGUCCAACUCAUCCAGUCAGCAGCCACCAGCCACCAGCCACAACCAAAUGUACCAACCCAGUCAGAAGUCAUAACCAUAAGUGACAACCUCUGUUUAACCACCAAAUACAAACAGGAGAGUAUGCCCUCUCACUUUAGAGCAAAUGUCACAUAUUUUUGCCACUAAACCUGUUAUUUAGCCAAAACGAUCAUUCAACUAAUUAAAAUAUACAUUUUGUCACCAAAAAAGUAUGUGUUGUCAUUAGUUGAGUGAUUAAAAGGAAAAACUUUUAAUAGUCGGGGUGAUCAAAAAUAUACUUUUUAAUUUGUUAAAUGACUAUUUUGACUAAACAAAAAGUCUAAUGACUAAAAUAGAAAAUUCUAAAUAGUUCAGAGGCUUUUUUGCCCACUUAUUCCUUUCUUUAUUUAACUGUUCUAUCCUACCUAAAGAAGGCAGAAGGAUCAUCUUACUAAGUCCAAACUAAACACUGCAAUUGUACUAAUAAUAAUGUAGCAUUUCUCCACUUUGCCAAACCGAAGAAUCACACUAAUGAUACUAGUAAUGUAAUGAAAAUUUUGAAAGAAGACAAAAGAAAAGAAAAGAAAAUCUUUGCACGUACCUUUCUCCAGUUGUAGAGUUUUUUUUUUCGUUUUUUUUUGGGUAGAGGGAGAUAUAUAGUCAAAUUGUUCUUCAUAAUGGUAUUCAUAGCUCAAAAAAUUACAAAAAUAUGUACAUGAUGCUUUUCUUUUUAGUAACUUUUUGGAUAAGUAAAAUGGGCGACGUUCUUCAAUGCGUUAUCGACCGGAAGGUUGGGCAAGAAAAAAUUCCGUUCACUUUCACAAGGCCAAUAUUUAGAUCCCUUGUUAACACCGGAAUUGUAAUACUUAUACCAAAUAGUAGGGUGUCAACGGGUCGGGUUCUGAUUAGAAUUGAAAUUUUCGGAUUCGAAUCCGUUUUUUAUGUAGUUGACUCAAAUCCGACCUAUACAUCCGACGGGUAUUGAUUUUAGAAUUUUGGAACCGGAUUUGAUGGGCUCCAGGUCGGAUCCAGAUCUACCCAGAAAAGAAGAUGUCCAAAUUUAAAUAUUCCAAAAUUAAAUCCAAAAUCAAUCACAAAUCCAAUUUCCAAACUUAAACAAAUCAAAUUACAAAACUAAAUCACAAAUAACUUGCAACAAUCAAUUUGAAACUAAUCACAAAUCAAUCUACAAAAUCAUUACUAAAUUAUUAAUUUGGUAAAAGAAUGUAUUUACAAAUAUUUAUAUUUUAUAAUUAUUAAUUUAUUGUUCGGGUCAGAAUCAGAUACGGGUCAGAAUCCUAUAUUCCAUAUCUGACUGACCCUUUUUUUUGGUUAGAGUAAACGAGUCUAGAUCUGGGUUCGGUACCGAAAUUAUUUUUUAACCAAAAUUUGAAAAAAAAAAUUAUCGGAUCCGGAUCGGUUUCGGAUCCAAAUCCGAGAUGUUGACACCCCUACCAGAUAUGCAUCAUAUUUACUGUUAGUCAAAGAUGUCCCUGGUUUUUUGCACAUUUGUUUACAUACUGUUACGAUUCAAGGUUUUUCUGAGGGACGCUUCAAGGUUAAAUGUUGUUGGCUUUUAACAUUAAUCAAGAUGGAAUAUGUUUCACCUUAUCGCCGCCUAGAAGUUUUUCCGAGCCGAAACCUCUUAGUACAUGCGUUUUGGUCAAUUCACUGUGCACCUGAUGUUUUUUAAUUGUUAAACAAUGAUGUCUUCCUUUGCAGAAAAUUUUGCUGGUUUAAGUUGUAAAAGCCCCCACAUAAAGGUAGCUUAGCUACUCACGGACUAAGGUGACUACGUGCUCUAAUGAUGAUCGAUAAAGAAGAAGCAUCCUUGUCUGACUUUUGGGGCAUGCAUGGAUUGCCAAUCAGCCAUGCUUCUCAUAUUGUAGCAAGCAAGAGGCAUGAUAAUUAAUCACAACUGUAUUUGUUGAUUUUUCAAAACCUCCUCCGGCCACAGCCCUUGCUCAACAGCCACCACCAUGCCGCCUCAGCCCCGCCCCUGCUACCCUCGCGAUGCAUGUCCGGCGUCUCUUUUUAUGGUCUAUGAUCUUCCAUUAGCACGAGGAAACCUUUAUCGCAGUUGAUAUGUAAUUUAUAUAUCUAUAUUAUGAUUGACAAAAUGUCCACUGCUGCCAGCCUCUUCCUUGCUCCAUAUCUCUAUCAGGACGGGUGUCCGUCUCCAUUGUCAUCUUUAUUACGUCGCAAGAGUCCCUACUUUUCUUCACCAAAGACUUCAUGCUAGAAAUGAAUGACACCACGGAUUUCCCGUCCUCCAAGAUUAAUGAAUAGCACCACAGAUUUUGGAUUAUGACAAUUUUACAAGACUUUCAGCAUUUACUAACAUUCUAUUCAAUACUUUACCCUGUCCCAACGACAUCCUUGCCUAAACAAGAUUACGGUACCUUGCUUACCCAAUCUACGCCACCCACAACAAACAUAUGUACACUCGAAAGCAAAACGAGUUGCAUUAUGACAUAAAUUUGUGUCACUAUUGGGGGUUGUACUCCUUCGAGAAGUUGAAAUUCACGGGGUAGCUCGAGCGGUCCGCUCCUAUUUUUUAGGGUAGGCGACCUUCCUGGCAACCAGGGUUCGAGUCUCGCUGUUAAUGCGCUUGGGAGAUGGGCCCUCUCCACCCGGGUCAGAGUGGGAUUAGUCAGAUCCCGUAAGAAUUGACCCGAACACCCACUCCGUCAGAAAAAAAAAAAAAAAAAAAAAGAGAAGUUGAAAUCCGUACCGAAUCGACGAGUUCAAUUGGUUGAACUGGAAACCAAAUGGGUAAAACCGCUAAACAAAAACCCGAUCAAAAAAUGAGUUUGACCGAAAACCAAAAGAAUCGCUUCGAAUCGGAUUUUUUUCAUCUUUUUUUUUUUAAAUCUUUUUUUGAACUACUCCUAAGUCUCUUCACAUAUCCUACCAUCAAUCUCUCUCAAACAACUCCAAUGGAAGAUCUAAGUUCAAAAAGAGAUUAAAAAAAAAAUGGAAAAACAAAGAAAGUAAAAAAUUCACCUAGAAACAUAUUAUUAAUUUUAUGAUUUGACCCCUAGAGUACAAGAAAACUAUUAUUACACCUAGAAACAUAUUAGAACUUAUAGCUAAAGCCCUAAAUUCUUGUAUUACUUUUCAAAUAAGCCCUCCAAUUUGGUUAUAAACUUGUUGAAUAUGCAUUAAAUGGUAAAUUGCAUAAAUUGCUACUUAAUUAUACUACUUUAUUUGUAUUUUCUUGUAAAGUAUCUUAGAAACAUCAAACAUACAUCGAACUUACCUGUUUUAAUAUUAAUAUUUUAAAAAAAAUUUACAUAAUGUAUUCAUUUUUAAAAUUAAAUAUAUUUAUGAUAUAAUGAUAAUAUCAUCCGAUUCUUGGAUAGAUACCCGUUAACUCCUGAUCUCGAUCGAGUCGAUGGCCGAUCUGAGUUUCAAAACAUUGGAAAUAACCAUAAAAAAUUAUGUAUAAGAUUAUCAAUUUCUCGAACUAGUCACUAACCAUGGAUCAAAGUCAUCAUAAUCAGGAAGGAGAGACAAGAUUAAACACUAAAAUAAUCGCCCAAAAAAACAUCACCCACUGACCCGUACGAUCACAACUCGUAGGGUCAACACCGACGGAGGCUCUCUUCUAAUGGCCACCAGUCAUCAGGACCUAAAACAGUUUUUAUCGACACAAAAUCGAUUCUGAGGGUGCUCACCUCGGCCACCCCGCGUGUCCGAGGUGAAGUCACCUCGUCCCUCAUCAGAGUCCAUCCAGGUCUGGGGCAUCGUCCCAGACCCCGGCCGGAUCCGCAGUCAACCGUGUAGGUGACCUCGGCACCUCCACCUCGGCUGCACGAUGAUGAGGUCAACCCAUCUGACAUCAUCCAGGACCAGUACUUUAUCUGAAAAGCACUGGGAGCACUUAAUGGCACCUGCACCAUGUCCUCCGUCAUCACUCCCAGGCGGCUACAGUGUCAGAGUCAGACUCCCUGACAGGAGACAGAGCCGUAAUGUCAGAGUGGGUCCCACUAACAUAAGUCCAGAGCCUCGCCUCUACUCUCCUAUAAAUACCUCACUCACACUCCCACCAAGUAAGCGGACACUGUUCAUUAACUCAUUCUCAUUAUUCUCGUUCUCAUACUAACUUGAUCGUCGGAGUGAUACCAGGGGAGAAGCCCCGCCACUCACUUCGGACAAGGAGGUUCACUUCGGACACAGGAGUUCACCUCACUUCAUCUCAGAGAGGACUGAUCCAGGUCGGUCUAGUUACCAACCAAAAAUCACCUCCUCAAUUGGCGCCGUCUAUGGGAACGAGACUACUAUUACUAAAAUGAGAUCCACGCGCUCCAGAAGUGGUCGAGUUCCCUCAACUGAGGCUGGGCAGACCUCGGGAGCCCAGCAAGAUCGCAUUUCUGAAGAGCAAGGGUCCCCGAGGACCCAGCCUAACAGCGAGGAGGCCAUCGCCAAGAUGGCCGAGUUCGUAUCAUACAACCCUACCAUUUUUGAGGAGCUAGGAAGGUACCUCAAAAGACAAGGGAAAGAAAAGGCCGAGUCCUCCAAGAGGAGGCCGACGAAGUCCCCUGAGGUACCUUCAGGUGAAGACUCAGAUGAGGGGCGACUCUCUCGGAGUACCUCCAGGCGCGCCUCCUCCAAGGCAACGUCUAAACUUGCCUCCAUCUCCCGGGCGCUGUCUCGGAGACUGAUGGGGAAACGAGCUGAGGACCCACCUCGGCGCCCCGGGGGCCUGGCUUCUGACUACAUGAGGGCUCCGCCCUUUACUGAUGACAUCAAUGGGGAGAUGGUACCCCCGAAUUUCAAGCUUCCAAACUUGCCCACCUAUGACGGCCGAGGUGAUCCCGAGAAUCACCUCCGCGCCUUCAUCUCCGCAUUCCGACUCUAUUGCGUCCCCGACGCCGUGAUUUGUCGGGCUUUCCCCAUUUUCCUACAUGGGACUGCCCGGAAGUGGUUCUGGAGUUUGGAACCGGGGAGCAUUUCCUCCCUGGAUGAGCUGAUAGACCGGUUCAUCCACCGCUUCGUGUCGUCUCGACCAAUCACGAAAACUUCAGCUUAUCUCUUGAACCUUCAACAGGGUCAGGGCGAGUCUCUUCGCUCGUAUGCUCAAAGGUUCAACGAGGAGAAUGUGCAAAUACCUGAUCAGAAUGAGCAGGUAACUCUCGCGGCCUUUACCAACGGGUUGGUGGCCGGACUCUUCAACACCGAAAUCCAUCGGGAUUACCCCCGUACACUUCACGAACUCUGGGAAAGAGUGGACCAGGGAAUCCGAAGUGAAGAUGUUAAUCGCAUAAAGCGAGAAACCCAAGCCUCUCGUACGGGACAAGAUACCCGGAGAAGGAAAGACAUCGGCCGAGGUGAACCCGGCCCAAGUGGCACUUCAAAUCCACCCCGGGACCGCCGGAGUGUCUUCGACCGGAUCGUAAAAGGAAGAUCAUCCACCUCGGACGCUGAGCUGACACCACUCAAUUCUAGUCGGUCUCACGUCUUGGCGGUGAUGAGGCAAAAUCACCUCGGCCGAACACCUCCUGAGAUCCCUGGGAGAAGAGAUAAGAGGAACUCCAACCUCUACUGCGCCUACCACCGAGACGUUGGGCACGAGACUGAAGAUUGCAACGAUCUGAACCGAGAGAUCGAAAACCUGAUCCGACAAGGAUACCUGAAGCAGUUCAUCCGCAAAGACGGAAGCUUCAACCGAAGUGCCUCCCACCGGGAGAGCCGAGGUCCUCGCCGAGAGGACAGGCGGGACACCAAGCUUAAUUGCCGAGGUCCUGAGAACCACAAGGGGGAUCAGAGGCCUCCACGUGACGGAUCACCAGGCUACGGCCCAAACAUAGUCGGGGUGAUCAACACCAUCUCAGGUGGCCCCACGGGAGGAGACAGCCAGAACUCCCGAAAGCGGACACUGUUCAUUAACUCAUUCUCAUUAUUCUCGUUCUCAUACUAACUUGAUCGUCGGAGUGAUACCAGGGGAGAAGCCCCGCCACUCACUUCGGACAAGGAGGUUCACUUCGGACACAGGAGUUCACCUCACUUCAUCUCAGAGAGGACUGAUCCAGGUCGGUCUAGUUACCAACCAAAAAUCACCUCCUCAGAUUCAAAUUCACUAAGCCAAAAUGAUGAUGAUUCAGGAGAAACAACUCGAAAAUUUACCUUAAUCACGAAAACUCACCACAUUAUCAUGACCUGCAGCCGCCUGACCAUCAUCAUCAUCAAGAUUACUCCCUCGGAUUGGAUUCAACACUUGAUCAACCUCCCGGAAAGAUACAGUCAGACUGCUCAAUUUUUCAUCAAUAGCAUCAAGCUGGUUAAGAAUAGACGGUGACGGGAGAUCACCAUUGACGACCCCGGAACAUUGAUCAAAUAUAUCUUUCUUACUUUGGAAAGAAUCCUUCGCGGCGUUGUAGAAUUCCAUCUUUUCUUCGAUCUUUGCAACUACUCCGUCCACAUAAUCCACAGCCUUGCUCAUGCUGUCCAGUUUUUGCUGCGUUGUACAGAGGUAGUUCAUCUUAUCAAAAUUUUGCAUGACAUCUUGGGCGAUCUCCGACAGAACCUGAAUUUCAGCACUGACUUGAUCCAUUAGUGGGAUAAAUGCUGGCAGCUCGACAUGAACGGCAUUGCGGAAAUGUUGCUCGGCAGCCCUGAAGCCAUCAAGCAUCUCUUCCAGAAGUAAUCGGCAUUCCGACGUGGCUACUCCGAUGGCCAUUGACGGAGUAGACAACUCAGAUUUUUUUUUUUUCCCUUUUUAAAUUCUCGCAGGAAACCUAGCAUUGACAAUACUACUAACUGCUAACUGGAAUAGACUCCUCAAGUUAAAUAGCGUACAGCCCAUGGAAUCCAUUUUCUUGAUAACUUUUACAUUACCCAACCAUGUUGAGGAAGUAUUGAUAAUCCAAUAUUCUUCACACACAUAAUAUAUAUCUAUAAAAUGAGAAUUUCAAGUUUUCCCUCUAAAUUCUAAAUUAAAAAAUAAAUUGCAGAUUUUGACAUUUAUUUGAUUAUACUCUUGCAAACAAACGAGAUAGGGAUUUGUUUCUCAAAAUUCAACAACGACUUGAUAUAGUGGCAAUGGAUGCUUCAGAAAGUAUAUAAUAAUUCCCUUCCUUUAAAUUCCAAUGAUAAGGUGGUUUCCCUCACGGAGAAAACUGCAACCUGGGCCUCUUUUUUCUAUCUGUUACAUACACGAUACAGGGUAGAUCCCAUGAAUUCUAAUUGACCUACAUUUUUCUCCUGGAUUCAUCACCAGUACAAUAAACAAUGCUACAUAAAAAUGCGUAUUAUAGCAAAAUACACGGCAUUAGGCAUUACGAAAACACUCUUUCCAUUUGAUGAUUUGGUAAAAACCAAAGUAGCAUUUUAUGUGAUCAACGAAUUGCUUAACAAACACACCUUGCAAGUUCCAAGAAAGCGUGAAUCAUUCGGAAGUUUAUUUUAUUUUCGAAAAUGUAAUGCUGUCAAGAAAAUUCAAAUGUAAACCACAGUGAACAGUGUUGCGAGAACAAUUAAGGAUUCAUGCACACAAUCAACCCGACUCGACUCGUGCAGCCAAUUUCAGAGAUUUUUCCUGUUUAAAGGGGGGAAAAAAUAAUUGAUGACUAGGCCAUGAAGGACAACUGACAAGCUAGUGAAACCUUUUCCUACAGUUUCGCAGGUAUCAGAAAAGGCCAUUUGAAGGACCAACUGGAACAUCAUCACCCAUGCAUUUACAGCCUCGGUUCCACAACUUUUGUUUGAAAACUAACCAAAUGCAAGGUUAUAGAUGAUGCCCUCCUACCUGCUACAAGUUUUUUUCCCAUUACACAUCCUUGCUAUUCUGAGCAUCUGCUCAGUUCGUAUUCCAACAACUUGCAACCAGCGUCACAUGAAGUUAUGAUUGAGGAGACAAUUCUCCUCUGUAAGUCUUUGAAAUCCAUUGCAAGCUUUACAUCCCAACUGCAACUGUCCCUGAGAAGUGGUGAGACCUUCAGAAAUUUGAAAUGCAUUUCAACUUCUGGAGGUUGCAUAUUACAAGCUGACUGCUACUUACCUGUCAUCAAGCUCUUCUCCACCGAGGGACUCCAUCAUACCUUCAAAGGUAGAGCGAAGGUCGUUGAGUAUUUCAACUUCAAUUUCCAGGCUAUCCUGCAUGGAGAGAUAAUGAUGCAGAGCCAAGGAUCAGGCUUACACGCUGACAAGGGUCAUGCAAAGAGCUAGAGGAGGACCAUUUGACAAUUACAAAGUGGAAAUGCAGAUGAAAAAUGAAGGACACUUUUGGCUUGGAAUUACGUGGGUCUUUGUUCGUGAGAUAGGCCCCCGAGCCCUUCGAAAGUGAUCAAGCAAUGGAGGUGCCAAACCAUAAUUGAAAAUCCCAUUGUUCCUUGAGAACCAGGUGCCCCGCACCAUGUGACUGUCCCAAUCAGACAUGCGCCCUGCAUCCUCACAAUCUUCAUCUUGGGCAAUAUCAAUAUCUGUCACAUACAAGGAACUAAGUAUAAAAGGAGGAUAAUCUAUAUGCGCUUCCAAGAUAUAUGUUUAUCUCAAGUCAAAAUGAACAGCAAAUUGUAUGUUCAUACAAGAUUUCUGAAAUGCAAGGAAAUGCACAAAAGUAAACUCAAUUAUCUUAUGGCCUUACCAAGCGGAAUAACAUCAUAAGGAUUUUUUUGUCGUGGCAAAAAGCCAUAAAAAGUAAGUAAAUGUGAGCUGGAGAAAUUUCCAUAGGUAAGAAAGCAUUGCUCUCCUGCAUUGCAAGGCCUUGACAAAGGAAAUUUUACAGAAUCUGUCAAUGGAUCUACUUUCCCAUAGUGCGUUAUGUGUGGACACGUCUGUCACAGAAAGAAACACAGGUAUAAGCAGAAAAAUAAGAUAAUCAAUGAAAAGCAAAGCAUUGUGUCUGGGCACCAAAAGCCAGUGGCUACUGCUUUUGAGAGAGUAUCUGAGCAGGCAAUAAAAACACAUUUUUGGGGAAAGCAUAUUAAAUGAGGGGAAGGAGUAGAUUGUCGAGUCCAUCCAGGGAAUGCUAGAAGCAGAAACCCGCCCCCCCCCAAAAAACAAAAAAAAAACACUUUUUCUUUGGCGGUGCUACAGCUGAAUUUGUAGGUUCUCUUUCUAUGGCCUUCUUUUUCUAAUAAGAUGUAUUAUGUUCUUGGUUGCCAAAUCUAAAUUAAUAUACUCAAGUAAAAGAGAGGAAGAAAAGCAGGAAAACUAAAAUUCUGACUAAAAUUCUGACAGACUGAGUGGUUCAGGAAUCCAGCAACAGGAAUUAAGCAGGUCCUUAGCUUUCCAUCACUGAACAUAAUCUUCAUGCUGUUGGAGUACCAGAGCUCACAAGCCCAGAGAAACUGCUCCCAUGUAUAAAGCUCUGGUGGAAAUACGUCAGGAUAAUUCUCAUAUAGGACAGGAAAUAACUGUUCAUAUUGGUUACGUAAGUGCUGCAAGGACAUAGGAAACAAACAGAAAUCAUUCACAAAAACGUAACAAGAAAUGCUUACUGACAAUUCAAAUUCAUGGAGGUCAGUGUUGCAAUAUUCUCGCCUAUAUGCCACAAUGAAACACUUUCAUUCAAAAUUUCUGUAACUUCAUCCUAAGACACAGAUUAAUGCCAUUUUUCAUUACUGAAAUAACAACAGAGGUAACAGUGUUAGUUCAAUGAAUCAAGUCCAGAAGUUAGAGAGACUUCACAAAGACUAAAGUUAACUUGGGAUAGAUAGAGGUUUCAUAUGAACAUUGUACUGGAGAAAUUUGAAGAAAAGGCUUUGCACAAGAAAGUUUAGUGCAUGAUAGUUUCAAUUCCACAUAUUUUUUCCAUUCUUUUUUAAAUGUGAUUUAUGCUUGGGUUCACUUGUGCAUGCAACGAAGCAAUCAUCAAAUAAAUCUCCAUAGAAGAAUCAACUACAUGCAUUAAUCUAAAGAACUCCAUAAAAUUCUAAAAGUGAUUAUGCUGUUUAAUCAAUAUGCAUGUAGAAUUAGUUAUCAAGAAACACACUAAGCAAGCCUAAAAGUUUGCUGACUGAAAAUAGAUUGAAAGGGAGAUAACCUCUUUUGCUUGUACUAUCUCUUCCAAUAAGAUAGUUCCAUCUAAAGCCAUGAUGGCAUUGACCCCAAAGCUCAAUCCUGUACAUGUAGAUGCAUUAUGAGAAUCAUGUCAAUGAAAGGGUGAAAUUGAAUGCAUAGUUGAAAUUAGGACUUGAAAUAUUAUAGCCAGAAAACUUUAGGCAAUUAUGUAGUUCAAGAAACUUAAUAAAGUAGACAUGAAUACAGAAGUUUAUAAAGAAAAAGAAACCUGUAUUAAACACUGCAGGCAACGUAUCGAAAUAUAACUUGAAAUUGGAAUCGCUGUUGUGUUUCUCCUUCAUGCUCCAUAACAAUAGCAUUGUCUCUGAAGAAAUCCCCUCAAUUUUCUCCAAUAUUGGAAACUGCCUUAAAAGUACAAAUGACUAAUGACAUCACUACAUAUUUUAGAUUCUGGCUGCAAAGUUUAAACAGUAGUUAAUAGCUCAACUGGAAUAAAAUGUGAAGUUGACAAAGAGAACUUAAGCAGAAUGGCUUCUACACUGUUGACAGAAAAGUUGCUGUUGCACCAUAUGAUGAUUUAGUUUUUGCAGAAAGAAAAUUCCAGCACAUACAAGUCCAUCAGGCAAGAGAAAUUAUGUUUCACAAGAUGCAUAUUUAAGAGAAGAAAAAGCUUCUGCUAAAGAUGCACAUCAACAAUAGGGCUUAAAAGUGCAAAAUGUACCAUGCCAGUUUCAAAAACCAGGUUCUCGGAAAUGACCAAAGACACAGGGACCUCUAGAGCAAUGUCCCCAAUUUUCAGAUCUUCUUUAGCGAUAGCUCCUCUUCCAGCUCCUUCAACAUCUGUACCGUCAAUAAAAAAGUGAAAAUACAUAACCCUAUUUUCACAACUGGAGUCUUGAACAACUUUAGUUUCCUCUCCAUACUUGUGCCCAAGUUCAUCUAUCAUAUUAACUGUUGCAUUGCGUAUCUCUUGCAGUGAAUUUUUAUUCUUGACUUUACCAUUGGAAAUUGAACAAUCAAUGAGUCUAAGAACAGAAUGUAGAGCUUCCAACUCAUGCCUUGGACUAUUAAAACCCACCAGAUUAGCGAAAUCUGCUCCCCCAAAAUACAGUUCAAUCUGCAACAUAACAUGUACAUUGAUAUAGUGUCAAUCGCUUGCACUUAGAAAAUGCAUUUGGGGUAGUGUGUAGUAUGAUGUUGCUCAAGAGAAGGCUUGGUCACAUAAUUUGAUGAAACAAAAUUGACAGAUGACAGUAACUGAAGUUCCAAAGAUGACUUCACACACAAAAAUGGACUUUAGACUAUACCAAGUUUCGAAUUGAAAAAAAUUAAAUAUUUGCUUCAUCCUUAAUGAAAUCCUAAGAAAAUAUUCAUAAAUGACAUUCAAACAAGCAGCUGCUCUAAAACAUUUCUGGAUAGGGGAUUAUCUACCCAUAUUACAAUCACCUUGAAUGUCUAAGGCAAAAGCUUGGUAAGUGCAUCAAGUACUGAAAAAGUUAUAGUUUCCACCACAAGAUUGAAAAAUCAACCAGGAUGACAGUUCAUAGCAGAGCAUUUCAGUGGUUGACUCCUGGAAGCUAAGGCAAAAGUAACUUGUAGAUACAUAAAAUAUAGUUGCUUGUAAUAGAGUCCUGUGAAGGAAAUAGCACAAAAGAUUACCUCAUUCAAGUUUAUGAUUCUGGCACGCUUAAGCAUCAUGUCCAGGACAUGCUUCAAGUGAUCAGGAUUGGAGGCAAUAUUCAAGGCAACACUUCCCUUUGGAUCAAAGCCUACGUCUUCCAGUAAUUUCUGUCACAUGCUAAGAGUAAAAUUAAAAAGAAAAGGAGAAAAAUCAUAAUCAUUAACCAAACACUCAUUAUGAAGUUCUUUUUUUUUUUCUUUCUUUUUUUCUUGGGCAAGGGCGGGGGUGCCUAUUUAUAAGGGUGGGAAAUGUGCUACAAAAAAAAAUGCAAACCUUUUUCUUCUGGAACAAAGGAUCAUUCUCAGAAAGAUCAAGAACAAAUGAGAUCUCAUCAUCAGUCUCUGCAGUAUUGGGGGAUAUAUACGCCUUCACAAUAAAAGAACAGUAGAAAAGUAAGUUAAUUUCCAACCUAAGCAACAGCAAAGACACCCACUUCACAUGUAAGAAGUAAUUAAUUCACACCUAUUGGUUAAAAACAGAAAAAAAAAAUAAGGGAUGAAGGGAGAGAUGGAAUUGCAGAAUAGCCCUAUUUACUCCUUUUCCAUGAUGGAAAUCUGUUUUUAUCACUUUUUCUCUCAUCAUUAGCGUUCUGGCACUUCCCUUGCACUCCACUUCAUCUUUCAAUACAAUCAAAACAAAUUCUGGAUUCAUUACAUAUGCACACUUGUAUUUGUAAGUUACCAAAAAAUGGCACAUUUACUUAAGGCUUCACUAACUAGAUGCACCAUAUAAUUCAGCUUCCACUUUGUUAUAAGGAAACGAAUAAGGUUAAACAGGGAAGAUAUUAGAUUAAUAAGAAAGGAUGACUAUCUUUAGGGGAAAAAAAAACAAGGAUGAUUUCACCGUAGCAUACCCUCUGGGCCAUCAUUCAAUGAACAUCUAUACUGGACUACAACCAAGAAAUCCCCCAUAACUUCUGAAGAAGCUUUUUUACAGUUAGCCCGUUUGAAAAUAAUUCACGAGGUCAAAGAGGCAGCUCUACUUUUUCCCAUUUUAUGAACUAUUGGAUACUGGAUAUGUCUAUAUUGAAUCAAGAAUUAAAGGGAUGAAUUUAGGUGCUGAAGUUUACCUGGUUAACCUCCAUUAACGCCAAUUGGAUGGAUUAGUCCAGCGAAUGGAAUUGAUGACUGGUAAGCCAGCAAAACUGAAGAGGCUGUGGCCGGAAACUGGGGAGCUGGGGUUUUAGCGAGGUUUCUGAGUAGGCAACUUGUUUGAGUACUCCCUCCCGAGAAAACAACCCGUUUCCAGUUUUUUUUUUUUUUUUUUUGUUUUUGGGUACGGUCGGUAAUAAUUUAUCCUACACCUGCGAUCGGUACGAUGGGUAGCUCAUUCUAGGGGCUCAACUGAGCCAAUGAAGAGAUCGAACCCAAAAACUAAAUUACCAUCAAAUCAAAUCUACUUUUAUUUCUAUUCUAACCUAUUUUAAAGGGUUCAACUGAGUCAAUAAGAAGAAUCGAUGAAAACUGAAUCAUCGAAUCAAUCGAAUUGUACUAUAUACUUGUUUGAAUUUUUAAGAUAAUUACGUAACGUGACAAUUGGUGGUGACCUCUAGCUGGUGGUUAACUGUUUCCAGUACUAGGAAUGUAAGAACUAAAAGUUAAUAGAGAUUGGAAAAACAGGAAAUUAUAAAAGCAACGACAUUGGAUAUAUUAUGGAGUUUGUUCUCAUUGUAUCAAACGUCUUGUUAACUUUUGUUUCCCCUUACGUCUUAAGAUUUCAAGUUUAAUCAUCAGUCUCCAAAAUCGUUGUUAGCUUAUUAUCCAAUAGUGAAAUUUUUUCACUUCAAUUAGAUGAUGCUUAUUCCUUUAUAUAUAUAUAUUUUUUUUUUUUUGAGGGAGUGCUUAUUCUAGUUCAAUUCAUUGACCAAACGAAGUAAUAUAUACAUAUAUGUGUGUGUAGAUAUAGAUAUAUGUAUUAUAUGUAUACGUGUGUGUGUGUAUUGUGAAUCUACUUUGCAAUUUGGGAAUUCAGUUUUGUUAGCAUUUUUUUUUUAUGGUAACAUUUUUCUUCUUCGUAAAUAGUUUUUGGUGACAGUAGAUAGAUUACGACAAAAUAGAAAUGCAAUGGUUCGCUACAUCCUCAAAGGCAAGCCAUCGGGAUUCUAAUGGGCUCAUGUCUUUGUAAAAUGCGGAUGUGUUGUUUAACUUUCAGUUGGGCCAUUCAAAAAAAGUAAUCCAGCGCAUGGGCUGAGCAAACAGUUUUAAAAUUAGUGCUUACCCAAAAUUCUCAGCCAUUCUGUAGCUUUUCUUCAUAAGCCAAUUGCAAAUUUCUCUUCUUUUUUUUCCCCUUUUUGAGCUUGAGUCCAGACCUCGUAAUUAUUCCUUUGAGCCUCCAGCACAAUCGAUCUGUUCCGAACUAGAACCCAACUGAGUCCCCUUUUUUUUCCCUUCAAGUUCAAAGGAAUGCUCAAACCUUACACAAGAGAAGAGGAGAGUGGAAAACAAAAAAAAAAAAAAAAAAAAGAAUGUUUGAAAGUCGAACCAAGAACCUCACAAUUAUCAAAAUAAUAUUCCUACGAGUUAAAUUUGGUCACAAGGACAACUUUGCUAAGGCCCUUCUUGUUAUUCCACUUCCAUGACAAAGUUGAGGAAGUCCAAUAGUCACAACCAAUGGAGCAGUAUGGUGCUCUAGAAGUGGCUCUAACUCUGUUCGACGUAAUAUUUGUUUGCCCACGCAAAUUUGGAUUGUUAUUUUUUGCAAAAAAAAAAUUUAUACUUUUCAAUUAUUUUUUCCACCUCACAUACAUUACAUUAAGUCGUUACGGUACAUAUAUAUUUUUUAAUAAAAACUUUAGAAAAUAGCUAUGCAAAGGGGUCUUAGUUUCAGCUGAUAAUCACUCAGAUAGGGAUGGUCCAUGCCAGAUGUAAGGAAAAAUUGGUACAUGCACCAGCCUAACCCCUUCUGAACUAAAAUGCAUGCUUAGAUGUAAAGUGUAGUCGAAGUGGAAUUACAUUCCGUAUUUAUCACUGUUAUUAACAAUUAUAUUACUAUCAGUAUCCAGUCAAAAAUCUUUCUCAGCAAGCGAAGAACCUCCAAUGUAAUUGGAGAUCCAGGACCAUUCAAUCAUCAAUUAGCUCCAAGAAAUAGUUGGGGUAAUUGAAAUACAUAUAUAUAUAUAUAUAUAUAUAUAGCCUAAGUAUAUGCUUAACAUAAUUGUACUGAUUUUCAUGCUGGUGAAUCCAAUAGCUUUGCUGACUUAUCAACAUAUUCUUUCUAGUCAAAGAUCCUUGUCUCCAACUUCAAAAAGCAGCCUUGCCAUUUGCACGAGAGAUACAAAGGGCACCAGCUAAAAGCUUCUAGCGAUGCAUGAAAAAUGGGGGUGGCCACUUUUCAAUUCAAAGCGUGAUCAAACUUGGUAAUUUUUAGUAAUGGAUGAUGGAACCAUAAGACCCAUAUACCCAAUCGACUCUUCUUGGUUUUAAUGUUAGUUGGGCCUGUACUCGGUUGCUUCCUUGUUUGGAAAGCCAUUUUUCACCAAAAAAAAAAAAAAAAAGUUUUAUGUUUUUCGUAAACACGUUUUUCAAUCACCUUUUUAACUUACAUACAUCAAAAAUCACAUUUUCUGUAAAAACUCUAGAAAAUUGCAACCCAAAUAGGUUUUUUUCGGUUAUGUCAAAUUGACCAUCAAGAAAUCUGAUGAAAAACAAGAUCUUGAGAAUACAUCAGAUUAAUUUUUUGAAGAGCAAGGGGUUGCGUACCUUGUAAUCAUUUAUUUCUUCCUUUGUUGUUCUUUUAGUACAGUUCCAUUUGGAUUAACUAUUUUUUGAGUGUUUUGAAAUAUUUUACUGUAGUAAAGUAGAUUGAAAAUUUUUACUGUAUAUGAGAUUGUUUUUAAGCUUGUUUUUUGAUAUUUCUGAGGUUGUUUUUUUUUUUAAAUUUUUUGGUGCUUUUGAGGCUGUUUUUGGUGUUUCUUAAAUUAUUUUUGUUUGUGUAUUAUUGUCGCAUUAUAUAUAAAAAUUUUGUUUUUAAAAAAAUGACCUAUCCAAACGGAGCAGCAGAUGAAACAAGCUUAAAUUGAAGCACAAGUCGCAAGCAAACAAGAAUAUUUUAAAAUAGUGUUUCACUUUAAAAAAAAAAAAAAGCUAUAAUUAUAUUAGGAUGAUAAAUAAUUGGGAAAGAAAAAAGGUCGUCCAACGUCUAUAAAAGUAAAGUAUCAAUUACCUUUCUCUAGAAAUUUACUCCAAUAGUUUUUGGACAAAUAUUUAAUUUCAUGAUCUUUGGAGAGUUAAACAUCUGAAUAUUUGUGAGGUGGGUACCGAGGAGUGAGAAAGGAUUUGUCUAUUCAAUAGGUGCUUUUCUCAGGUGGCUCACUGGACUCAGAAAAAGAACCAGACAAUCAAUUUAUACUAUUGUAAAGAAUAUUUAUCUUUCGUCCAAAAAGCAAAUAGAGACAAGUAUUUCAAAAGGGUGGAUUAUAAAUAAAACGUAAAGUAUCCGAGUGAAAAUGUGGCAAAUACAUUGUUUGGUUCAGAAAAGGAUGUUUUCUGUCUUUAGCAAGUCAAGGCUAUCUUAGGCCAUCGCAGAAAGUGAUUACUAUGACCUCCUCACGUGGAUAAAAAUACGACGUACGGAGUUGGGAUUACGACACCGUUGUUUGGUUCAAAAUGUAUUUCGAUUGGUCGGAAUUUAUUCUUCAGUCUUUAAGCAUUACACGACCCGGAACAAAAGAUCAAGAAAAAGACAACAACAGCAACAAUUUUGCAUAAACUAAAAUAUCAGAGCUACCCUCUUUUGUGGACUUUCUAAAAGUUCCAAGAAGAAAGCAACUGAUAAAUUGGAUCUUGACUAUUCGUUCAAAUGAACAACAGUUUUGUUUUAUUCCUUAUAUCUCUUGGUGCUAUAACUUUUCUUUUUUUUUCCCUUCACAAAACAAAACAAAAAAAAAAACAACUUUUUAAAAGUUGAUGAUUAAUAUACAAUUAUCUAGAAAAAGGAUGGAUUAGAUGAUAUGGAAGAAGGGAGUGUAACCGAGAGGUCUUAAAUUUAAAAUCUCAUAUAUAUAGAAGAAAGUCUAUAUAUGGAAGAAAGUUUAUAUGGAAGAAAAUCGAACCACAUAAUAGAAGCAAAUUUAAAUCACUUUCUUCCAUAUAUAGAAGCAAAUUUAUAUGAGGUCUUAAAUCAAUUGAGAGUUUUUUUUCUUUGAUUUUAUUCUUUUUGAAGAAAAGAAAAUUUGAUCGCCAUUGACUGUCUUUGAGAAUACCAUUGAUUAAACAAGUGAAGAGAAGUGGUGCCCUUUCUUUGCCAUAUUUUAUGCAGCUGUUACUUAUCUUAGGUCUUUCUUUACCAUAAUAAACGUAUUAAAUACUUUCCAUCGAUUGGGGAACUUUCGUACACGAAUCAAAUUUUGCAAUUGAAUGGCCAGCAUCGCAUAAAAUCGAACCUUUUUGUUGCAUGGAUUCUCACCCUCUUGACGGGCUGUUGAUUGGUUUCCACUGAAAGUGGAAUGAUUUCCAACUUUGUUGACUAGAAAAUAUUAACAUCAGGAAUCGAAGAACAUUAAGGUUAGAAUGUGGAGACCGAAAAGAAAUCUGGUGGGAGGAACAGAAAAAAAAAAAAAAAAAACUCUCAACCAAAGAGAGCUAAACUUUGAGUGGAACCGUGCAAGCUCUUACGUUAAUUUCAUGGCUUAACAUGCAUGGUUAGUGCUGGACAAGAUCAAGCAACGAAAUCUAACCAACAAUCAAUGGAUGUCUACCACAUUGCCUUGCCCUGGGGAUUCCUCCCUAGUCCCUAGUCCCUACCACCAAAGAAGUUGCUAAAAAGUCAUAACGUACGUAUCUUAUUAGAGAGGUCCGACUAUUGGGAUAAUAGAGAUUGAAUGGUUUGAAAACCAAAACAUCGUGUUUUCAUUCUUUGAUAUAUAUUUAACCUCCUUUUUUUUUUCCCCCUUUAUGGGUGUUUUCAAAAGCUUACUGAAUUUUCUUCUGUGUGUCUUGCAUCACAGUAUUGAGGAGGUCUGGUCUGAUAGUCGAAAAAGUUACAAUAGCAUGCACAAUAUCUUACAGCAACUUUAUAUCUCUUAACACACAAAACUAAUUAAAGCAUCAACAUCAUUUAACAUGUUUUUUAAACUCAAUCAUCAAAUCCAAUUUACAAUUAUUGAACUUAAUAACUACUCAAUCUAAAUUAGAGAGCAAUCCACAAUUCACAAUCGAUAACUACUCUACCGGCAUGGGGUUGGGCGGCGGCCUAAUUUGCUGUAAACACAUGGCUUAGCUAUCAUGCAGCAUUGUCAACCUGGUCUGGACGUACGCAUCAAACAUCUGGCGCAUUAUAAUCCAUUCACACAAUUGGGAAUUUUGGAUAUUAAUAAUCUUACCCUUCUCCAUCCAUGAAAAUAGAAACUAAUAAUAAUAAUUCCCUUUUGUCUCCUAAUACGUUCAGUCCUUCAUCCCAUGCGCUCUUCCUAAGAUAUUUCUUAUGGGCAUGUGUCAAUCUUUUUCAAAGACAUUAUUGACUCCUGCUUGGCAUUGAUUACCAUCUUAGGCAGGAAUCUAGCAUAGUACGUGCUAGUAGAUAUCUCCCUUGGAUCUUUUUCCUGCUGGAGUUAGAUUGGUGUCUCGUACCAUUCAAUUUUAAAAUUAGUAUAGAUUUGUGUUUGGAUUGCAUUUUUCAGAUUUUUUUUUUACAUAAAAGUUACUGUAACGAUUUGAUAUAUGUAAGAUAAAAAUGUGAUUAAGAAAUUUAUUUACAGAAAACGUAAAAAAAUUGCCGUCCAAACAAAGUCCGCGAGUCUUUACCUUGCCUCGCCAAACUAAGUACUGCUUGUUCUUUGAGCAAUAUAUAUGUUUUCUGUUUGGUUCUACUGGCAAAAGAUUAUAGUUAAAAAACAGAAGGGAGAAUUAGACAAAUCAUGCAAUGGGAAUAUUACCAUUAAUUCGUGGCUUACACAUUGAAGGGGUUGAAUGUUAAAAAUUGGUCGGUAAUAAGUCAAUUUCUGAAUAAUUGAUCUACUGCUACUUAAUUGUCAUGAACUCAAUAAAGGAAAUGUGAAAACAGAAAGAAUCGUGAAAUGACAAUGUUGUGGCUAAUCACCAAUGAGGCAGUUUGGGCCAAGCAAUAAUGAAAUCAAGACCGUGUGCAUGGGAAAUGACAAACAGAAAGCUUACAUGGGAGUCAAUUACUAUCAACCCAAUCUAUUGGCCGGCAAUUUGAGGUAAAAUCUCAUGUCACUUCUGUUUAUGGAGGUUUUCCAUCAAAUAAUUUAUGGAGGUUCGGACCUUCACUUUCUUUACUUUUACUUGGCUCCUUUUUUUUUUUUUUUGAUGGUUAUAUCAUUCUUGACUUGAAAACGAUUUAACGUGUGUAGCUCCCUUCGAAAGUGUUUUGUUUGGUUCAAAGAAGGCUCCCAAGCUUAUAGGAAUAAGCAGAAAGAUGAAGAUUUGAGAAUUGAACUAGAUCUUUUGGAUCACUUAGAUAAUGUACUGUGACUAGGUUAGGUGAGUUGGGUCUCGGGGACGAAAACUCUAACGAGUAACCAUUAGGAGAGAAAAAACUUUCGUUACAACUCUUUAGGAGAGACUUAAAUAAAAAAUAGAGGUUUGAAUUCAAGAUUUAUAAUUAUAGAUGCCGUUUUUUGACUCAGAUAAUAUAAUACAUUAUAUGGUUUGACGUAAAUCGCCUAGAGGUGAAAAUAAGUAUAAACUCUGGUCAUAUCAAAUUGAGUGUGAUUUAUAUUUGUCAAACUCGAACUUGAGUGAGAAGUUAAUUAAACUUUUAAUGUAAAACUCAACCUCAACUCCAACUGAAGUUGAGCCAAACUAAGUUGAAAUUACAACGAAGUAAUAAUUAUGAUAUUUUUAAACUGGAUAGGAGAGUCAUUUUAUUCUAAUAAAUAAUCAAAUUAUGAGGAUAUACAUGUAAUUUCACUGCUAAUAGAAUAGCCAUUCAAAAUAUAUAGAAUCAAGCCAGCUGCACGACGAGUCAGCAAGUCUAGUAUGGCGAUACAUAAGUUCAACUCAACAUUCUCCACAAUUUAAUUUUAGCUUUGACGGAGUCCGCUUGAUUCGUUUGCAGUACUAAAAUACCCUUGAUUUAUAUGAACAAAUGAGAAAUAAUUGUGAAGUUUAAUUAGAUCAAUCCACAUUAAACACAACUCAAUAAUUUAAGCAGCAAAUUAUUGAGCGCACAGUUUGGAGAUGUAAUUGCACACAAUCUCAUCCCAGUCAUGUUCCACGGUCAAUGACUCAAUAUAUUGUUCAUGCAACCGACCCUACCAAAACUCCACUUCGCGGGUGAUACAAACAAAAGAACUGAGAAAAAGCGGAUUUCUUUCACGUUCAGCCUCAUAAAAAAAAAAAAAAACAAAAAAAAGAAAGAAAGAAAGACAGGUCUUUAUUUAUUUUAGAAGUAGCUGUCAAGUACGUCGGCGAUUAUACACCGGACUCAAAUCGGAAAAUGACAAUCGGCCUUUCCAACUCAUAACAAAGUCCCAAGAAAUAAAAGAAGACGUCAAUUUUUGUCAUCAUAAUAAGAAGACUUUUCAAGCCGCUUUUGUUUGUAAAUCUUUCUUUUACCCAACAAGAAAUCUUCGGAUUUGCUUGCGUGUUCCUACUUUUUUCGUUCAUAGUAGCGUAAUUAUUAUGACCCCUCUAAUUCUAUCCAUUCAAACAGUUGUCUGUUUUUCUACUUAUGCAUCCUUGCUUUGCUUUUUCAAAAAAUGCUGCCCAGACAAAAUUAAAAGCCUUCGGUUUUUCUGUGCUUGGUUCCCUUUUGGCUUGCAUUCAAAUUGUGGUGGUAGUACAUUUUCCUUGGCAUCUCUAUUGGCCCCUUUUUGGAAUUUUUGGCUGUACAACGUCUUGAUUUACGUUCUUCUUCUUCUUCCCCCUUUUUUUUUUUUUUCUUUUUUUGUUUUCCCAUUUGCCACAUGUUUAAUCACGAAUUGAUGCAAUUGAUAAAAUCCUUAAAUGGGGAGGGGAGGGGUGGAUACAAAUUAGUCAGAGAUGAGAUCAAAUUAAGUUUUUUUUUUUUUUUAAAAAAAAAAGAGGCAGUCGGUGGUUGGUGUUUUAAAAGUAAAAUUAGCUACAGGAGUUGAGUUCAAAAUUUGUGUGUUAAAAACAAGAUUAGGCCAUGCCAACUUAGAAAAAGUCUAGUUGAAAAGGCAACAAGUCGUUAAUUAGGUUCUCAGGAAAUACGACCAAUGACCAAUGAAACAUUCAUUGCGUAAAAAUAUUAUUAUUAUACUAUUCCUAAUGCUAAUCUACUUUGUACUGCAUUUUCAAGAUAUGCAUCCAACUAUCCUGAAAACGAAAUGAAAUGAAGUGGGCAAGUAGUUAAAGUAGCUACAUCAUCAAGCUCCCCCAAAGCCCCACAACCCACAAGCCACUCACUACCCAAGGGGUGUUCACCGGAAAUUGGAUAUUCAGGUUCAUGAUUGUCCAAAGUUCAUGAUUGUCCAAAGAAGUUUUGAUCCUAGUUGAUUUUGAACAGGAAACACGAAAAAAAAAAAAAGGGAAAAUUGCAUAAACCUUCCCUGAGAUUUCUGAUAUUUGCACUGACCUCUCCUAUCAAUUUUGAAAUAGUAUUAACCUCUCCUAGAAAAAGUUGGAGCCAAUUUAAAAGGUAAAAGUGUGUGAAUUUACUAGAGUACCCCCAAUUGUAUUUGACUUUAUCAGAUGAAAGGUUUGAGUACUUUCAUCAAAACCAACGUUUAAUUUGUUAAAUAAAUUAAACUAAUCAAACUAUGUUUGCAUAGUUAAAUUAAUUAACUAAUUAAUCUAUUUUUACAUAGAUAAACUAAUUAACUAAUGAACUAAUUAUCUAAUUAACUAUUAACUAAUUAACUAAUUAUCUAAUUAAUUAAUUAACUAAUUUAUGUUUAUCAAAUUAACUAAUUAACUAAAGCUGUUGUCUGUCUAAAGCUAACAAACUAUUUGCAUGUUAAAUUAAUUAACUAAUUAACUGCUUAACUAAUUAACUAACUAAUUAUCUAAUUAAUUAAUUAACUAAUUUCUAUUUAUGUAAUUAUCUAAUUAACUAAUCAAACUAUUUUUGCAUAGUUAAACUAAUUAACUAAUUUCUAUUUAUCUAAUUAACUAAUUAACUAAAGCUGUCCAAAACUAACAAACUAUUUGCAUGUUAAACUAAUUAACUGCUUAACUAAUUAACUAACUAAUUAACUAAUUAAUUAAUUAACUAAUUAACUAAUUUCUGUUUAUCUAAUUAACUAAUUAGUUAAUGCACUAAUUGGUUAAUUAGCUCUAUAGGCCAACGAAAUUGGUUAAAUAGUGCAUUAAAUAUAAAACCUGUCAGUUUCCCAUAAAAGAGCUGGUAUGUUAUGGGCAAAAUUUUUUUUAAACUUUCACAUGUUUAAUUUAUGUUAAAUACAAAACAUACUAGUUUUUCUUUGGACGCUAUUUAACCCAUUUUUCCCAUAAAGAACUUGUAUGUUUUCCAUAAAGAGUUGGUAUAAAACAUACUACAAAACCUGCCAGUUUCUCUUAAAGAACUGGUAUGUUAUGCGUUAUUUAACCAAUUUUCAUAUUUAAACAAAUUUAUGAAAAUUAAAAUAACGUAUUUGAAAGUUGCAUUUUUAUUUGGAAGAACGCACUCCUUUGAUGCAUUUUUCACCAUUUGGGAAGAGACUAAAAAAUCGCCACCCUUUAGAAAGUUAGUUUAAAAAUUCUCUCUUUUUGGGAAUUUACUCCUUAUUAAUACAGCCACUAUAUUUAUUUUCUAGUAUUAAUUUUUGUUAUGGUUUAUGAUUUUCUUAUAUUUUAUCAAAAAAGUUAAUAACUAUUGUAGUUACAAUUAUUGAGAUGUUAAUUUGUCGUAUGUGUAAUUCUUUUGUUUUAUAAGAAUUGUUAUAUCAGGGGUAAUUUUGAAAUUUAAUUGCAUUUAAUUCCGAAACACUCAUCAAACCAAACUAGAUAUUGGAAUGAAAAAUAUAUUGCAUUUAUACCCCCUAAACUUGCUUGAUCCUUAAUGUCUAUGCCCCUCCCUUGUUAAUACUAAUUGUCAAGCAAAGAUCAGGGCAAAAUUAGAAAAAUUUUCUUAUUUCACUUCUACAAAUAAAUUUUUUAAUUGGACAUCAAGCCUGAGGGGAGGUUUCUGCAACGAAUUGUUCCUAUUCAGGGAUGCUGAAUGCCAUUUCUAAACCUAGAGGGGAGGUCAGUGCAAGUGUCAUAAACCUCAGGGGAAGUUUCUGCAAUUAUCCCAAAAAAUAAUAAACACAGUCAAUUGGAAUGGGUUGUGUUUGUGGCUUCAUUUAUUUGCCUAUUAUAAAUGGCAUGCCAUGCCAUCCAACCCACAGCAGUGAGCGGACCAGUGUCAUUACUGAUGAUGAUGAUGAUGAUGAGGCUUGAAAACAUAUACCGCACGUUUGGAAUAGAAAGAAUAAAGCCGAAAGAAUGAAUGUCCAAAUAAAUAUUAAUGGCUCUUCUCUUCUUUGGAUACAUCAAAAAACCCCCAUGUGCCGGCAGGUGUACUCUGCAUCACAUCCAGCUAACAUUGGUGCAAGUACACAAAAAGUAAACACAGGAGGAUCUCUGAUUUAGUGGUAUCUUGUACUCCUCCUCCUCUCCAAAUGCCCAUGUGAACCCCGCACACACACACACACACACACACAAGUGUGUGCAUACAUUGCUAGUUACUAGUACAUUGUAACAUACAUACAUUGGUCAUUGGCCGGCCAGCUGCUCUAUUAUGUAUGGCGCAUGAUAUGAUGAUUGUUCAGUUGGAUGCUAUCAAUGGUGGUGGGAACCAGAAUGGGAUUGACAGAAACCAAGCCAAUAUAGCCAAACACUGCACAUGCACAUUUGUGCACGUAUGAAACAUACAGUAUUCAGAGGUUCUUCAUUAUUUGCGCUAAGCAACAAAGAUGGACCAAAAAAAAAAAAAAACUAGUAUGAGCUUUCUUUGCCGCAUUACCAAUUUUCCCAAGUCCCCCCCCCCCCUUGAAUUUUUGACUCAUUCAUAUGCAAUUUCAAGAUAAUCUUUGUCCAUUUCCUAAAAUAAUCCCUCGUGAGUCAAGAGAAUAUCCCCCCCAAAAAACAUAAACAAAAGAAAAAAAAUGCAUCAAUUGUGUGAUACUACUACUUUAAUUGUUCUUCUGAUCACCAUUAUUCUGAUCACGUUUGUUACAACUUUCUUGCAAUUCACCAUCAUCAUCUUCCUCUUCUUCUUCUUCUUCUUUUGGACUAUCCAAAGCCCUUUUCUCCUGCUCCUCGUCUUCCACCACUGUACCAUUCAACCCCCUUGAUUUCUUCUCUGCCCUCAUCUUCAAAGCCUCCAAAAGCUCCCAAACAGCUCUUUCCUUGUCACGCCUGUUCUUAAUCAACACCUCACUUAUAUCCGCCGGUGUCAUUUCAGCCUUAUCCAUCACUUGUUUGAACUCUUCCUCCAAAUCCCUCUCCAAAUCGCCAUCAUUGUACCCCAAAUAAUUCUUCAAGAGAAUCUUCAAUGCCGGAAAAGAACAGUAACUCAUGAAGACAUGCAUGUCCAUCCUCCCACUCCUCAGCAAAGCAGGAUCAAGCUUCUCGAUAUGAUUGGUAGUGAAAACAAAUAUCCUCUCACUCCCACAACAAGACCACAAUCCAUCUGUAAAAUUCAACAACCCUGAAAGAGUAAUCGAAUUCCCACCAUCCUCCCCACCAUUACUAGUCCCCGGGGGCGAAACGUCAAAAUUGUUACUCCUAGCACCACCAGAAUUAGCAGCGCCUCCGCUCUUCUUCCUGUUAGUCAAAUUAAUUGAACAAUCAAUAUCUUCAAUCACAAUAAUGGAUUUUGAACUGGUUUUCAUCAACAAUUUCCUCAGCUCCGAAUUGGUAUGCACCUCAGUCAACUCCAGAUCGUAAAUGUCAUACCCCAAGAAAUUUGCCAUUGCAGCAAUCAUGCUAGACUUCCCCGUCCCAGGUGGUCCGUACAACAAAUAUCCCCUCUUCCAAGCCCGGCCAGUCCUCUGAUAAAAUGCUUCCCCAUUAGCAAAAUCUUUAAGAUCAGCCAUGAUUUCGGCCUUGUUGAUCGGAUCCAUAGCUAGCGUGUCAAAAGUGCUAGGAUGCUUAAAGGGUACGGACUCCCAAGGAUGGCCUCGGGAGUCAAGUGACCCUCCACGUGAAUUGGUGUAAAGCAACCGAUCUUGGUUAUUCCUACGUAUUUCGCUAGCUUUUUCCAUGACAAAAUCUAGGUAAGAUCCCAGAAUAACCGACUUAUCCUUCUUCUUCACGCGCAAAGUGAAGCCCCGCUUUUCUUCGGGCAACGGCCGCCAAGAAAAUGUCUGGGCUUGUCUCUGAGUGACUAUGUGCUCCCACAGAACCGUCACGCCCUCGUAGUUGUCCAUGAGGCGGUCGUUGUUGGACAGCCCGAAGGUGAUGGCGCUGGAGUUGAGCCCGCGAGUGAGGCUCAGGCGGUUGCCGGUGAUGGAAGCGGAGCUGCUGAGGUACAGCUGGACGGCGUUGUAGAGUUCGUUGGUGUUGACGCCGUCGAUUUCUGUGAUGUCAUAGUAGCAGUAGGCUGAGAACCAAUUGAAGAAGCGGUGGAAGAGUUUGAGGGAUGCAAAACGAAGCUCCGGUGGGAAAACUGUGUGGAGAAUGCUUUGGAAAAAUGCCCAUACCCCCAUUACUGAUGCUAGAGUUGUCCAAAAUUCCUUCAUUUUUCUUUCCUUUUUGGGCUCUCUUUUUAUCAAUGCGAACGAGGAAGAUGGAGGGUGGGUUUGUAUGGAUUUUGAUAGAAGGGUUUUGCAAGAUUUAUAGGGAGGAGAAAUGGGAUGGGGUAUUUUUUAUUUUAUUUUUUACUUUUUUUUUUUUGGGUUUUGGGUGGGGGAAUUGGUUGGUUGGGGGAUUCUCGAAGCUGUGGCUGAGACUUGAGAGGGGUCGACGGGAGGGGAUGCGGGUGCGGGGGAAUAAAGUAGAAAAGGGUGUAAAACGGUGAAGAGAGCUUUUAAGAAAUUAAUGAGUGAGAUGAAGGAAAUUAAUGGAAAUGAAGGGGUUUGAGCUCGAGGAGUUUAGAGUUGGAGGAGUUUUUAAAGAGUAUUGAGUGAGUGGGCUGGCGAUUGAGUGAAAAUUUUAAGUAGUACAAGAAAGACAGCAGUGAGAGAGAGAGAGAGAGGACUAGAAAACAAAAAGGAUUUUUGAUGGUUGAUUUGGAGAAGAUAUCGGAGAAGCACAGAGAUGGAUUUGGGGUCUAGGUUAGGGUCGUAGCCCUCUAGGGUUGGAAUUUUGUGAUGGACAAAUUCCAAUGGGAUUUUUUUUUUUUUUUUUUUUGGUUUGGGAAAUAAUUGUUUGGGUUGAAUCCUUUGCUAUUAAGUUUUCUUGUACCCUAUAAUGGAAAACUUGAACCGGCUUCUGCCAGAUUGUGAAAGGAGAGGGAUGUUAUAUCAAGGUCUUUUGGAAAGGGACAAUGGAGAGGGGAAGAGGCCGUCAGACCACACGUAUUUCACUCUGAAUUGCCGACUUGUGAAUAGUUCCCCUCCCGGACAGUAGUACGUUGUGGCAGUAACUCAAAUUUGAUUACUAGUUUUUUCCAACCAAAUAAAUUUCAUAAAAAGGUGUAUUAAAAAUUGUAACGAUGGUGUGAGCAAAUAAAUUUUGACAAAUAAUCCUCUAUCCAAACAAAUUAGUACAUCAAAAUAUUCGGUUGAGAUGCGUUAUGAACAUUGAAGAGGAAUGUUAUUUGGGGAAAACAUAUGACAAUCAUUAAUUACAUUUUCUCAUCACCAUUUUAUUUUUUCCAAUUUUCGUAUUAUUUCAUAUAUAUCAUAUUAUAAUCACAAAUACUGUGUUUGAUUUAUACAUUAUUUACACAGAUUAACUUGCUUAUAUUAUUAUCAACACAUUUUUUAAUUAUCUUUUUAUUUGACGUAUAUUACAUAAAAAAAAUGCUACAAUAAUUUUUAAAAAAAUUAUACUACCAAUUAAUCUCCUGUCCAAACACAAUUGUUACUGACUCAUCAAGUCUUUGAAAUCACUUACUUCCUCUUUGGUCUUCUCUCCACUCCAGCCGCCCAAAAAGAGAAAAGACAAUCAAUCAUGUAACACAUUUAUUAAAUGCAGAAGAGAACUGAAAGUGGGCAUUGGAAGCAGAUUUCUAGUCCAUCUUGCCAUUAGUCAGACUGCAUGAAUGAAUCAACAAAAAUAUUAAUGCUAAAUUCAUCAAAAGUGCCAACUUCGAUAAUUUCUCGCCUACCAAAGCUGGUUGUUAACUCGAUAACCCCUCCUACUGUUGCUUGGCGCAGUAAGUAUAAAAUCCAAAAGCAGAUGGAACUGAAAAUGGGCGGGGUUCAAGAAAGAAUGAAAGAAAGAAAGAAAAGAAAUACCCUUGUAUCAUACUCAUAUCAUCCAUCCCCAAGAAGAAGAUUUGGUGAUGAUUCUAUUUUGGUGUUUUCUUGAUAUUUGCUGCUGCCUCUGGCUUGUGGGGUUCUUUUCUAUUUUGGAUCUAUGCUUAACCAGGUGUAUUAUGUGGGCAUAUACUCUAAAUCCUGAAAAUAGGCAUUAGAUAGACCCCAUCUGCAGCACAUUAAUAGAGCAGUUUUGCCUUACUAUGUUGAUGGUUGAUGAGCUCCGUGCAGAUGCAUCUGAAUUCUGACCUGUCUGAAACGUUUCAGACAAACGCCUGCUAGGGACCGUGGUUUUAGAAGCUAAGUACUACAACUGGAUAUUAAUUUUAAUUAGGGGUAGGUAGGUAGUAUUUAUUUGUGAUCAUUAGUUUAUCUGUUACUAGUAAGUAUUUCUUCAAGAGCUUAAUACUACUCCUAUACUAUUAAGAAAGAUUAGAGCAGGUAUUUAUUUAUUGUAUAUAUAAUCAAGUUGUCCUAAUUCACGUGCCACAUUUUCAAGUGAAUUAUAUCACUCUCUUGAAGUGGAAAAGAAAAUGAUACACUUGGAUUUGCCAGCCCAAUAGGGUUCGUCCCCGGAGUAUUAUUGGCAAAGAGAAAAAUGUAGGGCCUGUUUGGAACCUAAUUUUUUGAGAAUUUGUCUAAAACUUUACUGCAGUGCAUUGUAUAAGUUUUUGAAAAAAUUUUAUAGAAGUUUUUUGUAAGGAGAAAAAUUUUGUAGAAGUUUUUGUAGGGUUAAAAACUUUUUUUCUUUUCUUUUUUUUUUCUUUCUUUUUCUUUUUCUUUCUUUCCUUUCUCUUUUUUUUCUUUCUUUCUUCUUCUUCUUCUUCCCCCUUCCCCCUUCCCCGUUACCUCUGCCUCCAGCAAUGCCACCUCUCGCCACCCCCUGCUUUACUUCUCCUCCUCUGCUCCGCCACCUCCUUCCUCCGCCACUCCCUUUGCCCGCCUUCCCCCUCCCCCCGCCAUUCCCUCACCCCGCUUCCCCCUACUUUCCACCAUUCCCUCUUCCCCCGCCACCCCCUCCCCAUGCCUUCCCCUGCUUUGCUUCUCCCCCUCUGCCCGCCUUUCCCUUCCCCCGCCACCCCCUCCUCGUCUUCCCUCUGCCCCUUCCUCCACCACCCUCUCUCGCUGCAACUUCCAAACAGGCCCACCUUCCCCCUCUACCCCGCCACCCUCACUGCCCCGCCACCCCCUCGUCACCUUUCCCCUCCCCCCGUCACCCCUUUGGCCCCUUCCCCCUCCCCUAUUCCCCUUCCCGUUUACCACCCCCGAAUCCCGCCACCCGUCAAAAAUUUUUUUUUUUUUGGCAAAUCCCCCAUUUCCCUCUGUUCUCCUCUUUCCCUGCCACCCUCACCCUCCCUCCGUGCGAUCUGGUCUUGCGACUAGAUCGGCCAGAGGGGAAGGGGAAGGGGGGUGGGGGAGGAGGGGGAGACGCAGAGAUAAAAAAAAAACUUGCGGGGAAAAGGGAAAAAGGACAAAAAAAGGGGAGAGGAAAAAAGGAAAAAAAAAAUCGGCACCGGAAAAGGUGAUCGGCGUCGGAACCGGCGUCGGAGGUGGUGGCCGGUGACGGAGUAGUUGAUGGAGAUAGUGGUGGGUGAGGAAGAAGAAGAAAAGGGGAAGGGAGUUUUUUUUUUUGUGUUUUGGAUAUUUUAAGUGUGUAAGUUAAAAAAUUUUGAUAAGUUUUUGGGAUUCCUGUAGCACAAGUUGUUAAAAAACUUGUAUAAUAAAAACUUGGUAAAAACUUGGACUUCCAAACAAGCCCGUAAUUUUGGUACCUAAAUUUUGACGCACGAGCGGUUUUAGUCCCUAAAUUUUGGAGGAAAACAAAUUUAGUACCCGAACUUUCAAAUUUUGAGCACAUUAAGUACUUUUGACGAUUUUUUUCCAAAUUGUUACCUGGAAAAGCCAUGUGAUAAUCACGUGUCCGGCCGCAAUGGAAUUAAAAAAGGACAAAAAUGCAAUUUUGGUACCUAAACUUUGACGCACGAGCGGUUUUAAUCCCCAAAUUUUUGACGAAAACAAAUUUAGUGCCCGAACUUUCAAAUUUUGAACACAUUAAGUACUUUUGACGAUUUUUUCUCAAAUUAUUAUUGAAAAAAGUCAUAUGACAGUCACGUGUUUGGCCACAAUUGUAUAAAAAAAAGGCCCAAAAAAUGUCAAAUGCCAUUCUAAUACUAAGUAUUAAAUUUAAGGACUAAUCGCGUAAUAAAGAAAAAAUUCAAGAACUAAAUAGCAUCACAUGAGUCAACAAAACCCAAGAACUGAUACAAAUGAGCUCCAAUUUCAGACAAAUUUUGUGACUUGAUUCUUAGAUUAAUGUACUGGGACAAAUUUUGUGGCAAAAUUUUUCCGUAACAAUUUGGGAAAAGAUCGUCAAAAGUACUUAAUGUACUCAAAAUUUGAAAGUUCGGAUACCAAAUUUGUUUUCGUCUAAAAUUUGGGAAUUAAAAUCGUUCGUGCGUCAAAGUUUAGGUACCAAAAUUACAUUUUUCUCUAUUGGCAAAAAUCCACCAAAGGGCAACAAGCUAUUGCGUAGUAAUUACUGGGCACAUGGAGUUGAGCACAAUUUGAUGGACACUUGUACUACUGUCAUUUCUCCACCAAUUCUGAUGUUGGUACAAGCUUUUCCAAGUUUUCUUUGUUCUUUUCGUUCUUUAUAGCUGUGGUGAGUAGUAUUUCUUUUUCAAAAGCGUGGACUAGUAUGAAAUUAAUACUAGUUGAGUAUUUGGUCAUUGAUUCGUGCGGGCUUAAAAGCAUAGAUUUGACCCCGAUUCGGUUCACUCCACAACUAAAAAAGCAAGUACAUAAAAACAAAGCCAGAUUAGACAGUUUCUUAAGCGGAGCACAGCAGGUUCAAGACGGAAAUGGGGCAGGAACGGUUGUCUGGCAGUUCAAGGUUAUGAUUUGAUUAAAAAAAAAUUUUUCGGCUCAAAUCACAUAUUGUAACUCAAUUUUCACGUCGUGUGUAGAACUCACAAAAUUUUGUUCUAAAGUUACGUCGUGUGCAAAGAAAAUUACACCGUAUGCAAUCAAAAUUACGCACGGUAAAAAAUGCACACAACCGACACAAACGGUUGCACCCUUUUCCGUUCAAGACCUUCUCUGCUUAUGAAAAAAGAAGAAGCAAACCAAAAAACAGCUUAAAUUUUAAGUUUAAACUCAUCGAUUGUCUAAUGCCUAAACAUGUUUGAAAGCACGCUUUCUACCUUUUUUGUCGAUGGCUUUGGGACAAAAUGGAUAUGGGUCAACAAUACCCCUCCACUGCAUUCUUGAUUAUUUAGUGUCUACAAAAUAUCUUAACAACAAAAUAAUUUUGAUUGGUUAGAUUCCAUAUAAGAAAAAUUACUUUAGUACUUAGCAGAAAUCUAUUGCUGAAAUAAGUCCAAAGUCAUCUGUCAUUAUCAAAUAUGAAUAGCCCCAGGAACUGAAAAAAUAAUCAUUCAAGUUCCAAAAUAUAUAGCAUAAUAAUUUAUAAAUAUAAAUCCAAGCCCCUUUGGUGUGGAUUGCAUCGUAUUACCUCUUUGGAUCACUGUACUUUUUUGGUGGAUCCCUCAACUCUUGCUCUGUCUUAAUUGAAUGACACGACACUAGUCCAGUUUAGUAAUACAUUUGUUACUAACUCUGCGAUCGUAUCAAUCUUUGGAACCAACAUUUGUUUUUUUUUUUUCUACCUGGAUGCAAAAGUACACAUAGAAUUAGAAGGUUUAUUACAUCUUUUGUGACUAGUAUCCACUGAAAUAUUUGCAAUUCCAAACACUGCAAUGGCUUACAAUAAUGCAUCUUUUUUUGUGAACAAAAUUUGAGAUCACAUCCUGAUCCUCCUAGUGUUAUUAAUUUGUCGAGUACUAGUGCUAAUUCGACACACACAGCUUGAUUGAAUCACUUAAAAAAAAAAAAAAAAACAAGCAACCGAUCCCAUAAUCCUCUAGUUUUAUUGGACAAUUGCCUGCGCAAGUAUGAACCAUUUCUGGUCUAUAUCACAAUUCAAAACAUGGGAUAUUUUACCUUUAUCCGUUUUAAUGAAAAGGAUGCAUCAAUGUAUCUAAAAGAAGAGAUAUAAGGAGAAUGGAAAUGUCAUUGCAUGUAUUGAAGUUCGUCAUGUAACAUAAGAAUUGUGAAUUUGCGCCAAUGUAAUUAAUUUUUUUUAACUGAAUUAAGUUUUAAAAUAUGAAAUUAAUUAUUUUGGUGCGAUCAUAAAAUUUCUUGUAUAGUUUUAUUCGUUACUUAGUGAUCUAAUAUUUGUGAACAAGUACACCUUUGGUCGCCUUUUUGCAUUGUUCUACUUAGUCACACAAUUAAUAGUUAUCUUUUCAAAUUACUCUAUGAUGAGAUAUCUCAAGGCAAAUUUUCUAGCAAAGUUGAUCCAUACAUUCAAGAAUGCAUAUAAGCAAAGUCGAAGAACAUAAAAGGACACACGAUUCAUGUGAUUAGCGCCUCAUUUAUCAAGCCCACGUUCGAAUCAUCAGAGGCCUUACGAUCACCUGACUAGCAUCCUCACCAACUAAGUUGAAAUUUGGAGGCAAACACCUAUAGGCUGCAAUUAUCACUUCAAAUUUGCUUAAUUGGUGGUAAUUGCUCUUUGAUCAUUCAAUCUAAUGAUGCUCAAGGAUAAUUCUCGUAUCAUAUUGUCAAAAACGUCAACACACUAACUGUAAUAGCCGGAUUCAACCAAAAUAAAUAACUGAUUAAGGGACUAUCAUGGCCACUUCUUUAUCCACUGCGCAAAAAAAUGGUAGCACCCAAAAAGGAAUGGGAAAAAAAAAAUGGACUAGUUACUAACAACUAUUUAAUUGGCCCACUACACAAUCCCAUGCAUAGUAGCAGCAGCAGCAGCAGCAGCAGAUAAGAACCAACACCAUCCAAUAUCUGGACAAUGAUCUAAUAUGUGUGGUAAUACACAAAAACUGUAUAGUAUUCGUUUUUUGUUUGGUGUGGCUGCGACUAAUGCGAAGUGACUUGAAUGAGGACAAGUCACUUUUGCAAUUGCCUUUGGUUUUAUCCAAAGAGAAAUGAAUCAUCAAUCCUCUUGUGGAGUUUGUUCCUCUCUCUCCCUAUUCUCUAAUAAGUCUGUCUGAAUUCUCUGACCGCAGGCAAUAUUUUGUUUCUUCUUUCUUUUUGGGUGGUUAUUUCUUCUUCCUCUGCAUCCAAUUUCCCAACAAAACCAAACAAGAAUAGGGCCACGCCAGCAAGUAAAGCUCUCUGAAGAAGCAACCCCGCCCCAUCCCCCCGGCAGCAAUAUCAUCAUCAUUUUUACCAGCUCAUGCAGACUAAGUUACCGCCCUGUUUCAGCCUACUCUAGCUAAGCCCAGAUGCAGACAUUUUGCUGUGUCAAUGACAUUUUUUGUGUACACUGCUACAAGAAACUUCUAAAGAGGAUUUUUCAAGAACGCAUUACGAAUCAAGUUUUGAGGCUUGAAUUUGCCGAAAAUCCCAUCACAAGACUGUUUUAGCAAAAAAAAAAAAAAGAAAAAAAUGCACAACAUGGAGACAGGAGUGGUAGUGCAAUUAUAAUAGGCACACAAUUAAAUACUCCAAUUCUCAGUAAUGCACUUUUGUUUCUGCAUAAAACACGGCCUUUACUAGCGACAUAGAUUCCCUCACCAUUUUCACGUGAGCAAGUUUCUAGUAGUUUAAUUGCAUCAUUGAACUUAACCAUCUCCUUUUUCCCUUUUCCACAAACAGAUAUAACCUCUCUGGCCGGACUCAGAAAGGUGUAAAGUGAUAAAGAAAGUCGCCCAGAAAUGAAGAAAGGAAAAGCUUUGUAGAAAAAGCUCAUAGUAGUGAAAAUAAUCUUGAGCUUUAUCACGCGUACAUUUUUAGGAUGACUGCAUGCUGAUUCACCUCCACUGUUUCUUAUGCUUUAGAGGCAAUAAUGGGCAUUCAAGUGCUGACUGUUGAGCAUCAAUUUGCUGCCACCACUCAACUGUACCAAACAAGGAAAGAUUAGAAGAUAAUCAAUAAUAGUUAAUACAGAUCCCAUCUUGGACUCGCCAUCAUCACUGGUUGGUUUCCUCGGAAGCUCCCCGUCGACUCACAUUCACAUAACAUAAUAGUUAUUGAGAAAUAUCCUUUUCAUUGGUGGUUGUGGCGGCAUACUCAUAAGGCACUUGUGGGCUCUUCCAACCCGCAAUGUGUUUUUGUUUACUUUAUUAUAUUGCGUGAAUCUUAGCCAGGCUGAAAAGAUACAGUAUAGGUGAAAGGCAAUUUGAAAAAACAGCUUGUUCCAAUGUGCUGGGAUGAUGGCUUUGAGCCUGGAAGUCAAAUUUCAACUUGGGUUUUGGUCGUCGAUUACUAUUUAAGUUUUUAUGUCAAGGUGUGCGUCUCUUUUAAGUCACAGACAUCAGUCUUUAGGUUGUUCUUCAUAAUGUAAAAAAGAAAUCCACUAGUUUUGUUAAUUUAAAAUAGACCCAACUCACCUCAGUUCUCAGUACUUUCUCACUGGCAUCGUCUCCAGCGCAUGUGUCAUUCUCCCUCUUUCUCAUCCAAAUCACCUUUUCUCCUUCCCACUUUUGCAACCCCUCCCAAGUCAAACCCCGCAUCUGAUCUUUAUUCAUCAAUCUGCAACCCCUAAGAUGUUCAUCUUCUAAACAUUACUCCCGUCCUCUCCUCCCCUUUAAAUUUUAAUACCUUCCAUUUGUCCAUUCUGAUCUUGACGUUAACUGUUUGAUCCAUGAUCAACAGGCCAUACGCACUUAGAAUUUUGAAAAAGAGAGUGAUUCUGGGAUGAAAGUAUUGUUGGCCUAAUUGAAGUUUGCUGCUACUCAACAUGACUUCUGAUAACAUACAUCGCCUCUUGCGAAAGGUCCUGUACGUGAUAUAUAGCUAACAAGCCGCAGAUGAUGCAGUUAACCAACAAAACCAGGUUAUCUGCGAUAGCAAUUACUGUGGUAGACGAGCAAUGCUGAAGAUUCAACUCUUUCCAUGCAGGAGAGAUGACUCCCAUCUUCAUAUACAGGAAAAGAUGUACCGCAUUUUCUCUGUUAAAAAUUCGGCCAUGCAUACCGUCAAAGAUCAGUGAUACACGGAUCCUAGCCUAGGUUUUCACGAGCAUGUUCAAAUCAAAGUAGUCAAUUGUUAUGAUUAUCUUUUCUUUUUCCUUCUGCAGCCAAAUGAAAGAGAGCUGUUGAAUUGUUGAAACCAAGUUCAACGAUUCUCUUCAAGAGAUAAAAUGACUUGCAAUAGCUACUACAAUUCGCGCAAAGAAACUUGCAUUAGCGAGUGGUUUACAAAAACAAAAAGGAAGGCGUGUAAAGGAAUUACAUACAACUAGUACAAGCGAUAUUUUCAGAAAACCUGGAGAUCCAGUCAGAAAUAGUGUCAGAAGAUCCAAGAAAAUUUUCGUACGAGACACCAAGUCCCUACAAUGCCAUCUAAGAGUCAUCCGCUUUGUAUAAAUUGCUAUGAUUGGCACCCACCAAAAGUAGUGCAUUAAUCGAUUGCAAUGAUCAGAAAACCGACAGAUACAUACAUGAGGAACACAGGGUAGAGUGCUAGAGCUUUCCUCCUAGGAUUAACUGCUGUGCUCAUGAAUGGAUAAGCAGCCCAUGAACUCCAAGCUAAAGUAACACACACCACAACCACCUUCAAAAUCACAUUGUCCUUCAACAUGCAGAUUAAGGCACCAACAUCCAGAGGGAAUAAACAAUAACCCAGAAGGCUCAGGCUCUGGAAGAAGAUUAUGUGACCGCCCUAAAAUAUGAACAUGAAAAGUUACAGCUUUUUGAACUAAACACUUCAGAAUUUCUCAGCUCAAUAAACAGAAUUCCAAUUUCUGAAAGUGUUAAAACAGUAGAGCUACUAAUUCCUAAAGAAAAAAACAUGAAAGGACAAAAGCAUGAACUACAAUGACGCAGAUGCAUGCAAAUGCAAGCUAUAUUUGCAAAAGUCAGCAAGGCAAGGAUGCAUACCAGCAGCAAUACAUUCAAUGUCAAAAUCACAGCUCCUGCAGCAAGUAGUGCAAAUGCAACAGCGAAAACCUCAGACUGCAAAAAGGUCAAAAGCACAUGAAAUCAGAACAUUAGAUUCUGAUAAAGUAAGAUAAAGAAAACAUCAAUUUUUAGUGCCAUUCAAACCAUUCUGAAUGUGCACCCAAGCAAAGGAGUAAAAAAUAAGUAGUAGAACUGUAAAGAUAAAAUUAACGAGCAUACAAAAGCAACAGAACUGAAGAAACAAUUAUCAAAUUGUUCAUGCAAAACCAAGAGCAACAUCUCUGAAGGGGAUCUCAAAUUAUGCAAACUAAGCUCAGAACUUCAUAGAGAUGCAUUAAUCCAUCAUUUUAUCAAAAUAAGGACCUGAAGCAUUCUCAAUGUUGACUAUUGGAAAAUUACUUGCACAGGUGACACAAAUCCUUCACAGUACAGACCCAAAUAGUAGCAAGAUAAAUUGCAUAUCAAUACCUUUAUGCAUAUCUAUAUAUAUAUAUAUAUAACUUUUCUUUCAUUUGAUUCAAGAAAAAGUUAAAGCAUUAUCUCAAUUUAUUAGCACCAUGACCUCUAGCUUCAAGACUUCUCAGUUUUAGUAUAAGCCAGUAAUUGUUACAUGGCAACUACACUAACUUAAUUCUUAGUAACUCUUUUUGGCUGGCAACAUUGCUCAAAUUGUUAAUAUAACUUAAUAUUGGAUCUCUCUCUCUCUCUCUCUAUCUCAAAAUCAAACUGAAGAGUAUAUGAUUUCACUAGAUGCAAGGGAUAAGGCCAACAUGAUCCCGAAAGGACAAGAGUGCUGCGCCAGGCACAUGUAUAAUUAUUCCUUCUCACAAACAUAAGUCAAACUAAAAAGUAAAUCCGGUUAAUAAAUGCAAAUAAUAACGCCAAAGUGAUGCUGGAAAGACGACAAUCGCCAAUACACCGUGCGCAUGUACAAAUUUUCCCUUCAAUAUGGUAUUACCUUUUGUCGCCAACAUAUUCCUAAAGCACAAAUGACCAAUGUAAACUAUGGACAUAUUUGUAAUCUUCAGGGAUUUUUUUAAGAAGAAAACAACAAUCCUUAAACAAGAGUAAAUUUAGCUCUAACAGUAUAAAACUGUUAAGUACUAUGCCAAUGAAGGCAGAACUAAUGCAAUGCCAUAAGAAGAAGUUCCAGUAAAAUUAUGCAGAACACAUGCAAAACAUAUGCAUUACCAAAAGGCGUAGUUAUAGGUCAAGCUUGUAGGGUCCAUGCUAAUCUUUUCAGUAUCAUUCCAAUAUUAUCAGACGUCCUUAAAGAGACAACUCCAAUUCGAAUUUCAAUCAAUCAAUUAAUUUUUUCUCUUAAUAUCAAGAAGUAUCCAUCAUUAGUUUAUCCCUUAUUUUGUGAUAAAAAAGUUAUCAAUAGCAAACUUGAUCCAAAUGAUGAUGAUACUCAAAAGAAACAUAUGAACCAAUCUAGAACGUGGUAAUUAAAAGCAGACUAUAAAGAUUGGAAAAGGUAAACCAAUAUUCCAUGGAAAAAAGUAUGAUUAGACCACAAGCAUUUUUCAGCAUUUAUAAAACAUCUUUCAUAAAAAUGUUUUCUUAAUGCAAAUUUGGUAAUGACCCUUUUCUUAAAACUGAGUCCACACCUACCGGUCGUUUUCCUAUCGAAGAUAAACAUACCGAAUCUACAGAUAUAGUCAGUAACAACUAUUACUGCCAUAUCAGCAAAAAAGAAACUCGAACCGUAAGACAACAUUCUUUCUAAUGGACAACUUACACUAUCAAGAAAUCAAUAAUGAGGAAGCAAAAAGAAAGACGCCAAAUGAAGCCAUCAAUUUCCAUCAGUUUGCCACUUUAAAUUUCCUAGAUAAACUAAAUUCAAAACAUGAAUCAUGGUUUUGUAGCUUUCACUUCUACUUAGUUACACCCAGCAAAGCGGUCUCAUUAAAUCUGACACAAACCUUUCUUGCACAUACACACGUCUGAACAGAGUCCCAUCCCAAAACUUGGAGAUUAGAUCAUUGUUGGACAAACCAUACAUAUCUAUCUACUAAUACAGUCUCUUGUCUAUCAAUUCAUUCUCCAUCUCCUUAAACCCUCAAAACAUUCUUUAAACUCAUGCAUUAUCAAGAAGUCCAUAUUCUGCAUGCCUAGAGGUUACAUAACUAUCUCAUAUGUCUGCAUCAACCAAGGUCCAAAUGCAAGUUGCACCAAAGCGCAUAGUCAAAUUAUGGGAAGCAAAAAAAAAAAAAAAAUCCCAAGUAUUAUUUCCUUAUAUAGCCUAUAAAUUACCCAACCACAAAAUCCAACAAAUAACAAGAAGCGAAUCGCAUUCCAGCGAGAACAUAAAAAUAGCAUAAAAAUGCUAAGAAACAGAUCAAGGGAUUACUAACUAGAAAACUAAAUGAGAGUAGCCCAAUUGCAGCUAGAGCAAGAUAAACAUAAACAUAGACAGGCAGACAAAAAACAUCAAAUGGGCAGCGAACUAAUUGCAAUCUAUAGCAAGAAAGUCAGAAAAAUAAAAAUCACACAAAAAUGGAGAAUAACAGAUCAAAUGGAAGCUAAAAUUACCUUCUUAACAGAUGCAGACCAAGACAGGGUAAGCCCCAAGAAGACAAUGAAGAAAAAAGGCCCCCACAGAUCCCAAUCCCUCAAGGCCUUGCCCGGAUCCUCCCUAUAGGGGUUAGGAAAAACCACCAAUUUCAAAUUACUAACGAUUCUGGACAGAUCCCUUUUCACGGUGUCCCAAACGGGCUCGGUUAGAGUAUUGGGAGCGGGACCAAACCCAGCAGCCGCAAUACUGGACGAGCCACCAACAUUACUGGUCCCAUUAGAGCGGGUGUUGGAAGACGGUGGCAAUGGAGGUAAUUUGGCGGCAGCGGGAGGGACGGGGAUGGGCUUAGUGGAAUUGGAGGAAGAGGAGAGAGGUGGGGCCGGGGGAGGCAGAGGGGAAGAGGAGAUAGGGAUGGAGGCGCGUGGAGGAGAAGGGGGCCGAGCCGGGAGGACGGAAGAAGGGUAAGGCUGAGAAUUGAUGAGGUUUUCGAUCUCGUCGAUGUCGGAUUGAGAAGUUGAGUGAAGAGGAAUGGUGUCGCUGUCGGGAUUGCGGGACAUUUUUUGUCGGUUUUUUUUUGAGCUUAUUUGUGCAGAAAUUUGCUGAUUUUGAGCUGGGAAUUCAGUGAUAUGAUUAGAGCUUUUGGCCGGGGGAAUUAAAGAUCAGGCGAAGGACUUGGGAGAGGUGGGCCGGGUGGUCAGUCGGUGAAGAGGGGCGGCGAUGAUGAUGCUAUCUGUUCUGUUGAUCGUUCCAGGGGAGGAAAUAUUUUGGGUUUUUGUUUCUUCUAAAGCUUUCCCUUUCUUCUUCCUUCGUCCCCCCCUAUUUUUUUUUUUCCUUAGAUGAGAAGUAAAAUUGGUCUGGCGUGGAGUGUGCUUAUUUGAUUGAUAUACCCGGGCCAACAACAAUAGCAAUAUUUGGGGUGCAUUUGUGUAAUUUGCUGCUGCUUAUCAUUACCGCUAAGGAUUUACUGUUCAGUAGAAAAAGAAACAUUUAUUUCAUUUUUGCUGUAAUUGAAGGAUUACUGAAAUUCAACCAUUCGUGACCUGUGGACUUUUCUCUUCCUACUAAUAUAGUACUUGUCUUCAUUGGAAGACCUGUGGCCUCGUUUGCCAAAUGAAUUUUUUUAAUAUUUAUUUAAAAUUUUGUAAAUUUUAUCUUCAUCGAAGAACUAUGACCCUUUUACUCUAACUUAUUGCAGAAAUUGUAUAAAAAAAUUUUUAAAUGUAUCACUUAAAAAUUUUGAAGAAUUUUUUGAAGUUACUGACUAAAGUUGUAAAAAAAUUUAUGAAAGACAAACUUGGCUAAAACUUAUUUACCAAACACACCCAUACUUUUUUCUUUUUUGAAAGAUGGAAGAACUAUAGUUGAAUGCAAUCACUAACUCGAAUUUCUUAUGUAGGUUUUGUCUGCACGUCAUGGAGGUUUUGUAAUAAAAGAUAUCACCUUCACCUUCGUGCUCAAAAAUGGGCAAAAGAAGUCGGACAGAUUUUCAGUUCGACGAAAAACUGUUGCAGUGUACUUUGAUAAGCAUCUCACGAGCACUCUAAAAGCCCUGAGACGAUGGCUAAUUUGGUCACCAAAAUAUUUCUCAUACGUUGUCGAUAUUUUCUGCAUCAAGAUCUGUGUCUUCUGCUUCCUAGAUCAUAUACAGCUGCAAAUUCAGACCCAGGUCAAAAAGGAGAGUGAGAAUAUGAACUUGAAGAGUUUCCUGCUUUAACAUCCUGCUAAAAGGAAAUAUAUUUCCUGGACAGAGAUAUCUCCAUCUUAUUAAACCAGAAGUAAAGACGACAACAAAUUAAGAAGCUUCCGAAUCUGUCUGAAAUGCUUAUUGUCAACAAUGAAAAUUCGAGCUCAGAAUAGAUCACUUCCAAUACCCCACAAUUUCGGCCAUUCCAGGCAAUUAACUACAAUACAGUCAACUAUGCUGCUCAUUUUGGUAACAACGUUCUUCAAAAUUAUCAGCAUAAUUGUGUGGAUGUAUCAAAAUUGGGUCCAUUUCCCACAGAGGACGCUAGCAAAUCCAUCAAAAAGCUAAAUUCUUAGACCCGCAUAUGAUUGAAACAAAUU